UUUUUUUUUUUUUUUUGGUCAGGCAUAUGUAAUUUUUUUUUGUCCCUUUCUUUUUCAGCCAUAUGUAGUUGAGUUAUAAUAACAAAUCUAGAGCGGCUUGAAAUGUUAGAAAUCAAAGAAAUAGUUCAAGGACAGAAAUUGAGUUCACCUCGAGCCUAUUUUUGGAAGUAAGUUUCCAAAAUAAAGGGUGAUUUUAGUUGGAUAUUAAUAAUAAUGACUAUUUUUAUUCUAAAAGAAUAGAAAAUCAUCGUUUCAACUAAUGUCUAUCCAAUCAAAGCCAAAAGGGGUCAUCACCAUUACAAAGCUUGUCGAACACUAACACGAAGAUCUGGCAAACAUUGCACCACAUACAUAGAAUUGAUUGGUGUAAUAUAUUAUUAUAGCCCUUUCAUGCGGGGUUUUUGUUGAUCUCAUCAAAACCAACGGACAUCAUGGGGAACAUAUAGCUAUAUAGCGGUGCUAAUCACUAGCUAGAGGGUUAUUUUUUAUUUGUCAUUGGUACUAGUAAUAAUUAAUUAAUCAAUACCUCUAUUUUAUUCUGAUAUAUUUGAAUACCUCGGCUAACGAGGCGUGAGCCCCUCCUCGGGAGAAUUCCUCCUUUUGCUCCAAUACCGAUGAAUUUGUCGUAUUAAAGAUAAAAAUUGUCUUAUUAAAUUUUGACACAGUGACUAGCACAUCAAUCAUUUUCCCGGUACUAUGAACUCACAUUUCACGUGAUCUGCCAACAACAUUUGAUGCUGGAAAGGCAGUAAAUCGAAUCAAUUCGUACCACCCAGCUUCUGUAUAUCAGCACGUUGUGCACUCUGCAGGCGAGGCGGAAAAAACCAUAAUAGGGUUACAAAGUUCCAACAAUAUUUCAUGGCAAACAAAUCCGGCAGCUUACAUGUUGUCAUGUUCCCAUGGUUAGCCUUCGGCCAUUUCAUCCCCUUUCUAGAGCUCUCCAAAUUCAUAGCUCAGAGGGGUCACAAAGUUAGCUUCAUUUCCACCCCUAAAAACAUCGAUCGCCUCCCUAGAAUCCCUCCAGAGUUUGCUUCUUCUAUUACCUUUGUCAAAAUCCCACUCCCCCCAGUCGAUGGGCUUCCCGAAAAUGUGGAGGCCACAGUAGACCUCGGCGGUCUUGAUGUUGCCGUUCUCAAGAAAGCCUACGACGGACUUGAGCCCGAGUUGACUCGUUUCUUGGAAUACUCAGCUCCGGACUGGAUUAUUUACGACUUUGCCCCAUAUUGGAUACCUCCCAUCGCAGCUAAGCUCAACAUAUCUAAAUCAUUCUUUUGUAUUUUUAGCGCUGCCAGUAUGGCAUUCGGUGCACCCUCUCUUGAUGCGAUGAUCGCGGGAACCGGUCCCAGAACUAAGGUCGAUGAUUUUACGGUUCCACCGAAGUGGAUCCCAUUCGAGAGUAAAUUGGCUUUCAAGUUAUACGAGAGUAGAUGGGUUGUGCAAGGUCAGAACCUAGAUGGAUCGGGUGUAUCGGAUUCGUAUCGGGUCGGAUCGGCUAUAAAGGGUGCAGAUGUUACAUUGAUAAGAUAUUGCUCCGAGUUUGAAGGCAAGUGGUUGAAGUUGCUUGAAGAUUUGCUACAGCGGCAUAUAAUACCGCUGGGAUUAAUGCCACCCCCGGUGGAAAAAAGCAUCGUCGAGAACAACGAGUCCUGGAUUGCAAUCAAGGAUUGGCUUGAUGGUCAAGGUAAAGGCUCGGUGGUUUAUGUGGCACUUGGGAGUGAGGUAUCACUCAAUCAACUCCAACUCAGUGAGUUAGCUCUUGGGCUGGAGUUAUCCGGGGUACCAUUUUUCUGGGCACUAAGGAAUCCAUCUGGGCUGCCAGAGGGGUUCGAGGAUAGAGUCAAGGGAACGGGUAUCGUUUGGAGGAAUUGGGCACCUCAGCUUAACGUGCUGAGUCAUGACUCAGUGGGUGGAUUCCUGACUCACUGCGGGUGGAGUUCGAGUAUAGAGGGGCUCAUGUUUGGUCAUCCGCUCAUUAUGCUGCCGUUUGUCGCAGAUACGGGGUUGAUUGCUAGGGUGCUGGAGGAAAAACAGGUGGGGAUAGAAAUACCGAGAAAUGAUGUAGAUGGAUCGUACACGAGCCACUCGGUGGCCAACUCGGUAAGGUUGAUUAUGGUGGAAAACGAAGGUAAAAUCUUCAAGGACAAAGCUAAAGAAAUUAGUGCAAUAUUUGGAGAUCAGGAUUUGCAUGACAGUUACCUACACAAGUGUGUAGAUUACUUGGAAAAUAAAAGACAUGAAUCCAAAUAAGAACUGUCUUGGAAACUUUUGCACGGUGGAUACACUAAUCAGUAUUCAUUGUGCCCAUUCUGCCAAGGCCACCAUUAGUGUCAAGUACAUCCUAUCUGAUACACUUUAUUUAGCAUCUAGCUUUAGGAAAAUUAGCCUUAUUAAAGUUGAUAGAUUAGAAUAAUCUGUGUUACAUGAGCUGGCCACUUGUACCAGACGUUUGUAAUCUUGCUUCUUUUAAUAUAUUUUGCUUUGCUUGAUUAAAAAAAUGUAUCCUUUGUGGAUUUUCUUUUGUAUUUUUAAUUGAGUUGUUACUGAAAUUACAUCAUUUCCUUGGGCUGAGAAUGCCCAUUACAUCUUGUACAAACCGUCCAGAAAGGUUCAUCAUCAUAAUUUGGCAAAAAAAAUGUAAGGUUCAGAUCAUAUCUUCUACAUCGAUUUUAAUAUCAUACGUGAAAUUCACAAAAUUUUCUUCUAGAGUUACAAUAUAUUGAAAGUGAAUUACAUUCUAAACAAAUAAAAUUAUGUCCCGUGAAAUAGAACAAAAAUCAAUCCAAACAAUUUUUCUGAUGACCGUUUAAGUCCCCACCCCCACUUAAACCACCCCACCAUUCGCUUAGUCAAAAGCAAGAACAAAGACAAGAUGGCAGAAUCCAUCCAUAUGAUUGUGUCUAUUGUUCUCGAAAUAGUCGAUAAUAUAUAUAUAUAUAUAUAUAUAUAUAUAAAUUUCUUCAAUAAAAUCCAGAUUUAUGUGUAUUUGUUAGGGGUGUUAAUUAGGUUUUUUGAGUCGGAUUUUAGCAAGUCCAAACUUGGUUCAUAAAUUAUACAAGUUUUUGGGUUUCGAACUUUCGGGCUCUGAGUUCAAAUUAAAAUCUCAAGUUUAGCUCAUGCUAUUAUAUGAGUUUCAGGCUCAAAUCGAAUUCGGUACAAACUCAUAAUUAAAUGCAUAAUUAUAUAUAAUAUAUAUUUUAUAAUUAUGAAUUAAUACAAAUUCAUAUAUAAGUCAUUAACAUUUUAUGUCGUAGUAUGUAUAAUUAUAAACUAUAGAUAUUAUUAUACAUAUUUUACAUAUGCGAUUAUACUCAUAUAUGGAUUGGACUUUAAUUGAAUUUGAGUCUAGUUUGAUUCACACUCAAUCCAAAUUUAGUUUGGCCCUAAUAUUUAAGUUCGAAAUUUGUCUGACCGAAUUAAAACUUAGGUUCAGUGAACUUUUUCGAGCCGAACUUGAGCUGAUCGGAUUUCAUUGACAAUGCUAGUAUUGGAUAAGAGAUUAUUUUAAUAAGAUAAUAUUUUGAAAAAAUAUUGUAAUACUUUUUAUAAUAUAAUUUCUAUGAGAUAAAAAAGUGAUUGAAGAGAUAAAAAGAUAAUUAAAAGAUAUAUUUUUGAUGCAAUUAAUUAAAAACUCGUUUGGAUUGAUAAUCAGUGGGUUCUAUCUUUCCUUCAACACUGUACGGCUACAUGUUCACUGUGACUUGACGUUUAUUUUGACGAGCUCAAAACAAUUUUCCGAAGGAAAGGCAUCUAAAAAAUGGGCAACAGAGUGGAUGCAGAAGAUGAUUUGGACUUUGGAGAGCAUUCCUAAGAAGAUCAAUAACUAGGAGCCAAGCAAUAUCGAAAGAAGGCAAUAAGCACAUAUCCUCCAACAAAAUCCCAUUUAUUUCUAAAAAAGGAAAAGAAAAGUUCCAUUUAUUUGUUCUGAACUAGGCUUCAACUCCUAUGUAAGUAGUUGCAUGGCUUUCUUUUUCUUUUUCUUUUUUUUUUUCUAGCUUUCGUACUGACAUAAAAACUCAAACAAUAGAAUUUUCCAAGUAUGAAUUAUGUAAUUCUCUGUCCCCAAAAAUCAAACUUAAUUCCUUUGCCUUUUCUCUGCGUCUCUUCCCAUCAUUUUCAACCAUGAUCAACCUCACUGACUCGGCCACAGAGUCACUCGUGUACAACCCGUUUUCCUCAUCUCUUGGAACUUCAAUCCCAACUCCGUUAUCUUCUAGAACCCUAGCAUUAAGCCCUUGAUCCACCAAGAAGGGCAGCAUAACAAGAGGAAGCCCAAGCAGAAUCCCCUCCACGCAGGAACUCCAACCACAGUGAGUCAAGAACCCUCCCACCGAUUCAUGACUCAGUAUCCUCAUCUGCGGUGCCCAUCCUUUCCACACGAGCCCCCUUCCCUUGACUCGCUCUUCAUACCCGUCUGGCAACUCAAAGGGCUCGUUUGACCCGGCUGGUUUCCUUGAAGCCCAAAAGAAUGGCAACCCCGAUGACUCCAAUCCGAGUGCCAACUGAGUCACAUGGGAUUGAUUCAGUGUCACCUCGCUCCCCAAUGCAACGUAAAUUACUGAGCCUCUUUCUUGAACUUCAAGCCAUGAGCUAAUGAAAUCCCAUGUUUCAUUUUUCUCGUCUGAGCCGUUGACGUGAGUCGGCGGCGGCAUUAAGCCGAGUGGAAUAAACGGCUUUUGAUGAAGCUCUUCAAGCAAAUUUAACCACGCGCCUUCGAACUCGUGGCAGUGCCUUAUUAGAAUAGCGUCAGAGCCGGCCACGACUUUGCCGGCGCGGUGAAUAUCGGAAACGCCGGAGGCAUUCCUUUCAGCCGAGCUCAACAUCCAGUUCACCUCAAACGGCUUGUAAGCCACUUUAUCCUUAAACGGGACCCACUUGGGUGGGACCAAGAAAUCCUCCGCCUUUUUCCUGGGAUCUGACCCGUCCACCAUCAUGUCGGUCGGCCCAAAGAAUGCAAAAAACCAAGCGUUGAAGAUACAAAAAUAGACACGAGAAAUCCCAAGCUUAGCAGCGGCUUCAGGCAGCCAAUAAGGGGCGAAGUCGUAAAUAAUCAUGUCAGGAACUGAGUCCUCCAAGAAGCGAGUCAACUCGGGUUGGAGCCCGUCAUAGGCUUUCUUGAGAUGCUCAACAUCUUCGGUUCGAACAUCCAUGGUGGCCUCCGCAUUUUCAGGGAGCCCUUUAACUUUGGGUAGUGGAAUUUUAACUAAGGUGAUAGAAGUAGCUAGCUCUGGUGGGAUUUUCGGGAGGCGGUCGAUGUUUUUCGGGGUGGAAAUGAAGGAAAUUCUGUGACCCUUUUGGACUAAGAAUUUGGCAUAUUCUAAAAAUGGAAUUAUGUGACCAAAGGCCAGCCAUGGGAACAUAGCUAUGUGUAGCUUAGCUCCUCGAGCUUUGGCCAUGGGGUUCCAAGAAUCAGAAACCAUGGUUGUGGAGCUAACGGCUUCUGUUUGGUUCUUGAAGUUAAAAUUAUGGAUUAACGUCGGCCGGGAUGAGCUAUGCAAAGUAUUGCAGGAUAGCCAAUGGGAGUAUCUGUUCGUUUUCAGAUGUUGCUUUGUUCGAUGCCUGCAAGCCAAUUUGAACUUGUAUAUUCUAUUUAUAAUAAUGAUAGCAGAAGUUUUUUUUUUUUUCUUUUUUUCCUGCAAACUAGAUUGCUGUUCAUAUUAGACUACUUGCAAAAGAUUUUUGAAAGGGAAUAAAACUGACGCACCUCUAUUUGAUAUUCACACAUUCUCACUGCCUUAAACUUGAAUCGGUUAAGAUGCAAUGCAUGUUAUGGUGAUGAGAGUGCGUGAAUUUCAAAUAGAGAUGUGCGUGCGAGUAUUAUUGCCCAUAAAUUAGUUUAGGAGUAUAUGUUUCGUACUUGACCAAAAACCAUAUCAAUGGUUAUCGUGAAUUUGUGAUUGGUGUGUUUAAUAUAGUCAGCUUUCUCGAUUUCGUUAAAAAAAAAAAAUGUAGAUUUGAUUACUACUUUUCCAACUUUGCCUAACUUUUGAGACAGACAAGCAUUUGUUUCUUCCUUGGACUACUUGUCAAAACAACCAAACUGAAAAGUACAGACCAAAACAUUGAAUUACCAGCCACUCAAAAAAUGUCACAACUGGGAGGACUGGCGGAAAGACGUUGGCAAAUGGAAUUUUUCUUCUCAAAAACUGGGUAGAUUUGAGAAGGUGAAUUACUUGCCCAAGUGGAAAUUGAUAUCAAACAAGUAUAUGUACUUUUGUUAAUAAUAAGAACUGCUUCACGCAAUUAUAUGUUCCAGCAAUUUUUUUUUUGGGUUUAAUAAGAACUGCUUCAUGCAAGCAAUUAUGUGUUCCAGCACACAGCAUUAGACUUGUGGUAGUAUGAUUUUGCCCCAAACCAAACUACUGGCCCACGGAAAUUUUGUUUCAAGACGAUAUCAUUCUUAAAUUCAUUUCCCCCGCUGUCAGUUUUACGCUACCAAAUUUGUAUUUGACUUGACAUUGGCCUUGAUUCACAUAAAACACGCGACUCUCUAUGUAGGAACGUGAUGCAUGGAAUCUGUGCAGUCAAAAUCCAGCGGGGUGAGAAUCUUGCUUGUAAACAAGGAGCAGCAGAGGCGGGACCUGUCCCCCGUUUCAUCAUCUUCUAUACUUAAAUUAGCAAGGUUGAGAGUGAGUGAGAGAGGCCGUUGCUUGUUACUUCAAAUGGGAAAGAGUCAAGGGCGGGUACUUACAGUUUGCAGAACCGACUUUAAUUUACUAGGUGAUAGGUUACAUUUUUUGUUAUCAAAUUUAUAUGAUUGUUUCCCCUUGAUUUUGGUCAAAUAUUUCAUUAAUUAGUAGAUUCUACUUACAUUUGGUAAUUGGCGUUGGUUGCAGGAAUCUGAGCAAAAAGUAAUUGAAGAUGUGAUUUUUUAACUGGAUUUUUGUGCGAUUCAGCAUGGUGCGUCAAGGUCUCAAGCCUACGUGUCCAGAAAGUUUGGGGAUUUAGCACGUGAUCUCCGAUCUUAAAUUGAAGUCAUGAAAGUAAGAUUCUUCACCGAAUGAACAGUCUCUUACUUAGGACUCUUUAAAAAAUUAUUCGUUGGAUUAUUAGGAUUAGGACUUUGUUUUUACAGAGUAGUUUAGUCGGAAUAGAAGACCAAGAAAAACGAGGAUUGUCGUAUGUCUUUUCUUCUUCUUCUAUUUUUUUUUUCCUCACGAAGUCAGGACAUCACGGGGACUUCUUUUCUUUUCCUCAGGAUAUAAGAACGACGUCUUUUUCUUUUUCUUUUCUUUUUGGCGUUUCAUCCUAUAAUUGAAGAAUGGUUUCGACAAUUCAUUCAACUAUUUUGCGUGUGAUUUCUUCAACAGAAAUGAACUAAACUUCUCGUUCUAGUCAAGGGACAAUGGAGGAUUUGGUUCAACUAAAAUUAUAAGAUCAAAUUGAUUAUAUUUGUUUUUUAUGGAUUAAAAACAAAAAAGCCCCUUGUAGUAUACCUAAUACACAGAAAACCUCCCCGUAAUUUCAAAACAUACAAAACGACACCUCAUGUUUUAAACUAAAUUUAAAACUAACAGAAUUCGUUAAAUUUAACGAAAAUGACGGUUUUGGCCGUUAAAAAUAUCGGAUUUCGUUAAAUUUACCGAAUUUCGUUAAGUUUUUCGUUAAGUUUACCGGAUUCCGUUAAGUUUAACGAAUUCUAUUAGUUUACAAUUGAUUUCAAAACAAAAGGUGUCAUUUUGUAUGUUUUGAAAUCACGGGAAACUUUUCUGCGUAUUAGAUAUACCACAUGGGGCAUUUUUGUUAUUAACCCAUUUUUUAUUUACUGGUAUUCGUAUGCUCUAUGAUUUAAUUUUUUGUGGUUAUUAUAUUAUUUGAAUAUCCAGGACCUGGUGUUUUAAUUAAUCUAAUAAUCUAAACCAAUUAAAGUAAUUAAAUUCAUAAUUGUUUAAUUGUUUUAAUCUAGUGGUAACUGACAUGAUUAGAUUUAUUGCUAAGGAACAUAUAGGCUGAUUUAAAAUAACCAUCGUAACGUGUUAUUAACUUAGAACAGGAAAUUGAACUCUACAGUCAUAGUUAGAGUUAUUUUUUUAUUAGGACAAUGGUUAAUAGUCGCACCUUAAUCACCAAUACAUUAAGGAGAAGUUGAUUACCAUCGAUUUUUUAGCAAUUAUAACUUGUUUAUCAGUGUGUAAAUGGAAUUAUCAUUGUAUCAAUGAUCAAUUGAGUGAACCAUUUCCGAAAUUAUUUAUUGGUUAGAGUUUAUCUAUUAUUAUUUCAAUUUUAAUAAAUUGUCAUUUAGUUUUUAUAUAUUUAUUUUAAUUUAGUUGUUUAAAUUAUUUCCAUUUUUAUAAAAAUCUCCCAUAUUCUAAGCUCUAGAAUAAACAAAUUUUUUUCAGUCCAUUGAAUUCGAUCCUACUCACUGCUAUAUAUAAAAAUUUAUAUUUUAUUUGAAUAGAUAUUUAUUAUUGUACGAGAUCCGACACCCAUCGCUAGGAAUGGAGAGAGCACUAGGCAAAGCUGCCCUUGACAGUUGACAACAUGCUAGCUUUAGGUGUCAAAGUUUGAUUAGGCUGCAUUGAACUUCUGCAAAGUUUGUCUGGACGUUAUUUGUGCAUGGCAAGCCAAAAAUGGUUGGGUGGCUCUGACUAGCCUAAGUGAAAAGAAGUUGCAAUUGACCAAACGUAUAAAAAGGAUCAUUGGAUUUAAAUCUCCACAUUUGCAAAAAUCACCCACUAUUGCUCAAAUCCAUGGGAGGGGCAUUACCGCAUUAGUUUGACAUACGCACAACCGGCCAGUAAAACCACCUAUCUCACGAAUCUAUUAAAAGAAAAAAAUCUACAGGAGAUGGAAGGACUGGGUUGAUCAUCUUCAUAAGGAUUUUAGGCAUCAUAUAGGAGGCUGAUCAUUAGCAGAAAUAGUGGGGGAGCUAGUAGUCAAGGUUAAAGGGAACAACUGUUUUAGUAUAGAAUACAUUAAUUAUUAAAGGCAAUAUAUAUAUAUAUAUAUAUAUAUAAUGAAUAAUAACAUAGAAAAGUAUAGACAACUAGUACGAUAGUUUUUCCAAUAUUUUCAAAAUUAUAAAAUGUUUCACUGACCUAAAUAAUGUUAAAGUAAUGAUAUGAUUAAUGUUUUUGUACAUUAGACAGGUGUAAUUCUUAAAAAUAAAUUCAAAUGAAAAUCAUUCAUUCAUUAGCAAUCCAUUUGGAUUGUAAAUUUUGUAGGAGUUUUGUAGAAAAAAACACUUUUGCAACAUUGUUUUUAACAUAUGAUGUAUGUGAGGUAAAAAGAUUGCUGAAUAUGUGUUACGGAAUAUUCUCAUAAAAACUCAAAAUAUUUUCCAUGAAGAAUAAAUUUUAACGUUUUCAACUACAAAAAAUCCAAAAAAAAAAAAAACAGCGCACAAAUGUAUACAUAGUCAUUUCUUUCGCUGGAAAAAAAAUGAAUAAUGAAAAUCAAAGAUUGAAAGGUUAGUUCUGUUUUUUUGUUUUGUUUUUUUUUUUUUAAUAACUCUAGCAUCAUAAUACUUGUAUCAGGCUAAUCUUCAUCUGAAUAAAACUCUUCACAAGCAAUAGUUUGAAUUGACCAAAUCCAAAUUGAAUAGGAUUGGUGCAAUAAGUAUAAGAUCCGUAAUCCAAGGUACUAAUUAAUUAAGAAUCUAAUUAUGUCCAGCAAGGACGUUUAUACAAACAACUAUGCCGUCCAAAACACGCUAAGAUUCAUUUAUAUUUAAUUAUCAACUCCAACGUUAUACGACACCGGCCACUUAAUUAAGUACUUUAAUCUUAUUUAAUUCCAGUUUUUCUAUUUUGUUAUUUAUAAUCCAAUUGUUGUUUGGAUAUAUCACUGCAACAAUUGUUCUUCUCUGCAUCUGCAUAGCCUUGUCCUCAAAAUUUAUUAGAAAGCCAGUGUAGCAAUUAGCCCGGGAGAGAUUGAUUAUAGAGCGAUUAAUGGCUGACAAUAGGAAAUUACACGUAGCAGUGUUCCCAUGGCUAGCAUUUGGCCACUUGAUUCCAUUUUUUGAGGUGGCCAAAUUCAUAGCUCAAAAAGGCCACAAAAUUUCCUUCCUAUCCACCCCUAGGAACAUGAAUCGCUUGCCAACUUUGCCUCCAGACUUAGUCCCGUGUUUUGAUUUCGUUAAUCUCACGUUACCAAGGAUAGAAAACCUCCCCGAAAAUGCAGAGGCCACUAUGGAUGUUCCCCCUGAAGACAUCCAUUUUCUCAAGAAAGCAUUUGAUGGUCUUGAAGAUGAGUUGACUCAGUUCCUUGAGUCUUCAACUCCUGAUUGGAUUAUUUACGAUUUUGCUCCUUAUUGGUUACCUCCCAUUGCUGCUCAGCUUAGAAUUUCUCGUGCCCAUUUCUUUGUGACUAAUGCGUGGUUUUUGGAUUUUUUUGGACCAACAUCGGUCAUGAUCGAUUCCCCCAAGAAAGAUUUGACUCUUAAGGAUUACACUGCCCCCCCGAAAUGGAUUCCAUUUCCUACGAAUUUAGCAUAUAGGAUGUACGAGUGGAAACGGACUCUGGAGACGUCAAACAAGCCUGGAGGGAGCGUUACUGAUACGCAUCGGCUUGGCUCGGCCAUAUCGGGGUGUGACAUGAUUAUAAUUCGUCACUGCUUCGAGUUUGAACCGUUAUGGUUGAACCUGCUCGAAGAACUUCAUCACAAGCCAGUCAUUCCACUGGGUCUCAUGCCACCAGGUGAUCAAGAAAUUGAAAUCAUUGACAAAAAUGAAUCGUGGGUUUCAAUCAAGGAGUGGCUUGAUGUGCAGAAGAAGUUGUCUGCGGUAUAUGUAGCUUUGGGGAGUGAGGUGGGACCGAGUCAAGAUGAACUCACUGAGUUAGCUCUUGGAUUGGAGCUGUCAGGUUUAAGCUUCUUCUGGGCUUUAAGGAGGUCUGAUUCGUUGGAGCUACCAAAUGGGUUUCUGGAGAGAGUUAAGGACCGAGGGAUUGUAUGGGAAACUUGGGCUCCCAAUCCAAGAUACUAAGUCAUGACUCGGUCGGCAGUUUCUUGACCCACUGUGGCUGGAGUUCUAUAAUUGAGGGACUUGAGUUUGGUCGAGCACUAAUAAUGUUACCAAUAGCUGUUGACCAAGGUUUGAAUGCAAGGAUCCUGGUGGAUUCAAAGGUGGGUGUAGAAAUUCCCAGAGAUGAAAAUGAUGGUUCUUUCACUAGAAAUUCUGUGGCCGAGUCAGUUAAGAAAGUAACAGUUUGUGAAGAUGGUCAGAUUUUCAGGGAUAAAGCGAAGGAACUGAGUUAUGUAUUUGGAGAUAAAGAUAUGCACAGUAGGUACAUGAACAGCUUCAUUGAGUAUCUGGAAAACCACAGGCCUCUGGAAAUUGGACUGUGAAUUAUGAUCGAAACCAUAAUGAUCAAUUUUUGUGUUUUGUUUUGCUAUAUAUUUUGUAUGUUGUUUCUCAUUGUUAUUAAAGUGUCGUGUUGGUAAUAAUGGUGCCAAUUCUUCAAUUCCCCUGCGAAAAUGUAUCCAGUGGGGUACAUAUCACAUUCUCAAGGGGAAAUGAGCUAUGGAUAGAGAAUAAAAUAUCCGAAGUUUGUAAGCCAUGACAUAUGUUCUUGGGGUAAGAGACCGAUGAACUUGAUCAAUAUAUCCAAAUCUUGACCUCCAUGUCAAAAUUACUUGCCACAAUAUUGCACUAAAAGUGCUUAAAAUAAAUGAAAGUCUUGUAGGAGUAUUUGUAUUAGAAUCUUUUCAACAUAAGAUUUUGAUAGCUAGAAAAACUGAUACAUCUCAAAAAAGUAAAGACCAAAACAUCCAUGGAGAACCCAAAAAGGAAAAAAAAAAUAAAAAAGAAAAAGUAGGAAUACUGGACUUUUGUCCAUGAAGUAGCAUAACCUUACCUGUAACAGACCUUGUCAUGUCCAAUCUCUCAUCCCUUCAAGGGGACCAUUAGCAAAAUUCGGACAAGAAAGAAGACUCUUUUCUUUCGCUUGCUUCAUUUAGAGUAACAAGACACAUAACCAUAUAUAAUGGAGUAUUAAGGAAGAUGCUUUAACUCACUCUGAAACGCUUUAAAAUUUUUAAAACAUAUUUGCCAAUUAACAUUUUAUUGCAUGUGUACUUUCAUCUAAAAGUUGUUUUUAUUCUUUGAAAUGUACUUCUACAAGACAUAUGGAAAUGGAUAGAUUUCGUGGUACAGUAUAGUGAUAGUGCUCCAACAAGAUGCUCUACUUUUCCUUAAACAGACUCCCAAAAGUCAAAAUCUAUGGAGUCCGAAGCAUUAAGGGCAAAAUAAUGGCAAAAAAUGUAGCAAAAUUUGAGCCACUGAAAAGUACAUUUGAGUUUCGUGCUAUUUCCAAAAAAUAGCAAAUUCUUCUCUAUCAUAAGAAAUGAUGACGGUCCAACAUCAGUUAUUGGAAGCAUGAUUCGUGUCGUUUACCCCUAAAAAGAAAAUGACAUGCAAUUGAACAGAACUUGAAUCAUGUGGUAAUUCAGAUUAGAGAUAGCAAUUUGUCCCAAAUCCCAAUGGGCUAUCCAUGCCCAAAAAGACUUUGGGCAAAAUGGGUAUUGUAAUUUGAUAUUGGAUUUAAAAUGGGAUACAUCCCAAUUGUACCCAUUAUUUAAUGGGAAAUGUUGGAAAAUACUUGGGUACCCAUUGGGCCCAAAUAUCUUCCCAAAAAAUUUUAUUUAUCCAAAAAUUCUCUAUUUUUUUUAAAAUGAUUUCAUUUAAACAACUUUAAAAAAAUAAAUAUAACAAUAAAAAUAAAAUGAAUUGGUAAAAUUUUGGUGUCUACAAUAAUCAAUGCUUUACUAACAACUAUUGGCACCUUUUAUGUUGAUUUUAUGCUAAUUGUUGAACUAUCUACAUAGAUUUCUAUAUGCAACCUUGUUAUCAAUUUUUAAUCAACUUCUUCAUUUCUGUGCUAGCUUUAUUCAGCAUUUAAUGUGAAUUUCUUUUGUAUUAAAUUUUGGAAAUUUUAAAAAUGUCAGUAAGAAUGAAUUUGAUGUUAAAAAAUCUUAUUUCUAGUCAUUGUGUCAGAUAACAUUAUGAGUAAGGUUGGAAUAUGACUAUAUAUCUAUCUUUUCCUUUAUUUGUUAAUCCAAUUUUUGGUUUAAUCCAGGGAGAAGAUAUGUUCAUUCUUACGAAAAUGUUAUGUCUUUUUAAAGUAACUGUUGAUCGUUCUAGAGUGUAAAUGAAUUCAGGAAAAUAUAAAUUCACGAUAAGAUCAAAAGAAAUUUAAUAAAUGAAAAUAUUAAAGUUAUAUAAAAAAAAUAAAAAAGAAUUAAAUUAAAGGAAAAAUUUAGAAAAUAAAUUUGGGUAUUAGGCGAGAUCAAUCUAAACCUAUCCCAAAGUGAUCUCACCCAAGUUAGUCCCAAAACACAUAUAGGUAAAGUUAGAUCCAAACCCAUAUGAUUCGGUUCCCUUUCGAACCCAAGCAAAUCCCGCGCAUCCUGCCCAUUUUGCCGCCUCUAAUUCAAAUACCGUAACGGAGCAUGGUAAGCAUUAGAAUGAAGACUAUAUAGCCUGUAAUUCAGCCAGAAUGAAGACUAUAUAGCCUGUAAUUCAGCAAACUAAAUCAUUGAUAAACUUUAGCUUCUUAUAAACCUCAGUAUUAACGGGCCAACUCUCUGUUUGAAUUGCAUGAAAACAAAGAAAUUCUGAAAUUUUUUGUAAUGCAUAUGCAUGCGUACCUUUAUCCAGAAAAUGUUAUACAAUAUAUUCUUUCUAAGACAAAAGUUUAAAAGCUCAUAUGCAGAUGGAUAGAUUUCGCGGUGCAUUGUGUUGGUUCUAGACCAAAAUAAAUCAUAUAAGUCACAAUAAUUUCUCUAAUAAAAUUUAACAAAUAAAUUAACAAAAAUUCAUACCUUAAUCUUGCAUUAAAAAUGCAAAUAAAUUGUACCAUAAAAAUGUUGAUUUAGCAUGCGUUAAGGCGCGGACUAGGUCGCUCUCUUUAAGACGAUUCGCGCCCCUACGGAGUAUCCUCCAGUGUAGUAGGUCUCAACACGUCGCCUCCAGGAUACAACAGCCCAGCCUUUUGCACACUGUAGUCUACUCCAAUCUACACUAUUGGAGCAAGACAGAAACCUCACACUAACACUGUUCUUUGCCCUAUAAACUCUUAUAGUAGUAGAGGAAAAAUAGAAGGUAGUAUAGAGAUAGCAAAGUAUAUAUUUGGUUUGGUUGAUAGAUGCCUUAUAUAUAGGCUAAGAAAUUAGGAAUAUUAAAAUACCAACAUUAAUAGGAAUUAACACCUCAUAUUUCAGUUACAAAUUGAAAAGUCUAGAUUCAUUGUAUAACGGUAAAAAAUUACCAAAUGAAUUCAUAAAACCUAAUCAUUACAUAAGUUACAAAUGCAAGACAUAAAUCCCAUAAGUUACACAUUUAAAUGUUUCAAUUUGUAACUAAAAAUUUAUUUAAAGAAUUUGUAAUUUAUUUUAUUUGAAUUCAAAAUAAAUAUGUGAUAUUUUUUAUUAAAAUAUCCAACAAUCCCCCACUUAUUUUAAUAAAAAAAUAUAAUAUUCAAAACUUAACACUUAAUAGGGCAAAGAUUAAAAAUUCAUGCAUAAUGAAGGUGGCAAUGCCUUUAAACCUUCACUUAGUGCUCAACAAUUCCCGUGCUAGAGUCAAAGUGGACUUAGCCUUUAAACGAUGACUACUUGAGGGCACGUGAAAUCAUAUUACAUGUAUGAACCUUUCAUUGUUCUAAAAUAGAUUUCAUAAGCUAGAACAUUUAUGGCCUUGUGCUUUAUCCCGGUUUUCAUAAGUGCUCUAGAGAACCAGCCCAAAUUCUCAUAGGAAGCGGCCCUACUUCCACACUCAUAUAGGUGAGUCUAUCAAAGAUGCUCCUAUGACUUAGACAUCCCACCCAUAAGGGCUAUAGAACUCAUUAAAGGAAUAAAAAUCCCAACCUCGCUUAUCGUCAUAGGAUCACGAAUGCAUUUACAUCAUAAGGAUGGACAAUAUAAUCAAAGUAGUGCAUAUUAAUCAACCAAAUCACUCUAUGAUUCAUUUGUCUCCGACCUAGUUCUUGGGAUCUCCAAUCCCUAGGUGGUUGUAUCCUUGUAGGUGAUUUUUAACAUAUAUUAGACUUUUGUCUUAUCCCCCUCGAUGUGUAUCAUAUCCUUGAUUCAAGUUUGAGAUUUAUUUUUUCAACACAAAUAAAAUAACAAAUAUAUGAUAUUCUUGAAUUUUUUCAAAUAAUCUCUUAGUGGUCCAAAUACAUGGAACCAAUCUUCGAUGAGAAAAUUUCUCAUCCAUAUAUUUUUUCCAAAUAGUGUAGGCGUAUAUUUACUCAUAUGUAAUUUUAAAAUUUUUUUUUCAUGGCCAGUAGUCUCGUGAUGCACUAGAAGCCAUUCUAAAAAAUCUCCAUGGUUAUUUUUGCUUUUGCAAAAAUAUUAAAAAAUAUUUCAAGUACCUUCACAUUAGGUCAUACUUUUCAGUGAAUACUAGUCUGCACAACUCAAAAUAAAGUUAGAAUAGAUUCAAAAAACAAUAAUUAUGUUAUACUCACAAAUUGAGCAAAUAGAAUGGGCAUAUAUUUGCUCACAUCAAGCAAAGCCACAUUAAUUUCCAUCAUUUCUGUAAUCUUCUCAGUGACUAGUAAUCUAGUAACCCGCCACUCUCAUAGUCCUCAAUGAAUUUUCUUUUGCAAGAAAACUUCAUAAGUAAUUCAAAUCUAUCCAAAUCAUGCCUCACUUUUUAAUCUGCACAACUCAAAUUAGAGAUUAAGAAAAUUCAAAAAAUAUAAUAGUCAAUGCACUAUUAUGUUUUAAUUUCAAAAUUCAACCUGCAAGUAAUGCAGGCCUCAUAAUGAAAAUCUCAAGAGUUUCAAAAUUCAUAGCUACCAGCUUAGUCAACAUCCACUGUCCGUGUUUCCAUCCAAGCGUUUCCAUCCAAGCAUAGUCUUUCUAUAGUCAUGCUUGGCAAGGAAAUUAAGUAUUCCAGUUUGCAUUAAAUGCAAAGAUAGCCACAUAACAAACAACAUGAAAUAAUUUAAUACAAAUCCAAAAGUUGUUGGUUGCCUGCAAAUUGAUGGCCUUUGACUCGAAUACAUAUUUUUUAAUGUACAAUAUCACAUUUUCAACUCAAAAGUUCAUAUUCACAAUUUUAACAAAAUACAAGUCAAGAGAAUAGAAUUGUUGAGAAUUAUAUGGCUAAUAACUUUAUAUUUCACAACUUCAAGCCACUAAAGCUAUUAUCCAUGUAUAUAAUUUUUCCUUGGUGACAAUGUAAUGUUUCUUCAUUUAUUAUUAAUACCGUUUAUUGGUUGUGAAAAUGCAAACCUCAAGCUGGACUAAGAUCAUAUGAAUUCAAGACAAAACUAGAGAAUUUGAAACCCCCAUUAUUUAAAUAUAACUUGAACCCUCAUAAUUGCAGUUUUUUUUGAUACACCUUGAUACCACUAUUCUUAAGACAAUAACUGGCCACGUUAUACAUGCAUUUCAUGGAGUACAUAUCUUUAUCAUCAAAUUAAUCAUUUAUAUGUCAAUGCCAAAAUUUUCAAUCGGAAUAAAUCCGUUAAUAUAAGAGACAUUGAGUUUGUUUGGAUAAGAGUUUAUUUAGAUGAUUUAUUUGAGAUAUUUACUGUAACAUUUUUUGUGAUAUGAUGUAUGUGAGAUAAAAGGGUGAUUGAGAAGAUAAAAAGGUGAUUGGGAUUUGUGAGAAUAAAUUUUGCAAAUCAAAUUAUCUUUGUCCAAACAAACUCAUUGAAAGUUCACUAUGCAACAUAACAAGCUCAUGCGAAAAUAGUUGCUUCAUACAACAUAUAUUAUAAACUCAAAAAUGGCAAAAAAUUAUUGUAUUUGGUCAACUAAUAUACAAAGACAUCAUGCAAGUACCAUGUUUUUCUUGAACAAACAAAUACAUGAUAUUCUAUUAAUAAUAGGCAACUUGGAUUCAAAGGUAUAUAUUGCGAAUUAUUUAAUGCGCUUACAUAAUAUUGAUACCAGACUCUAAAGCAUAUGAAACCAAUGGAUAUUAUCCUUUCUAGUCUCAGUCUAUAAUUGUGACCAUUCACAUGAAAUAUCUUGUUUAUUAAAGUUUGUCCGAAUUGUGUUAUACACCAUGUAAGAUUCUUAUCGUCAGGAUUAUGUUAGUUUUAUGAUUAGAUUAUUUAGAAGCAAAACAUGCAAUGAUAAUCUUAUCUUAUGUGAAGAGGCUGAUCGUCUUAAAAUUGUUGGUUCUAGACCAAAAUAAAUCAUAUAAGUCACAAUAAUUUUUCUAAUAAAAUUUAACAAAUAAAUUAACAAAAAUUCAUACCUUAAUCUUGCAUUAAAAAUGCAAAUAAAUUGUACCAUAAAAAUGUUGAUUUGGCAUGGGUUGAGGCGCGGACUAGGUCGCUCUCUUUAAAACGAUUCGCGCCCCUACGGAGUAUCUUCCAGUGUAGUAGGUCUUAGCACGCCGCCUCCAGGUUACAACAGCCUAACCUUUUGCACACUGUAGUCUACUCCAAUCUAGGGCUGCAAACGAAUCGAGCCGCUCGCGAGUCAAGCUCGAGUCGAGCUCGAUGUUAAUCGAACUCGAGUCGAGCUCGAGCCGGCUCGAGUCAAACUCGAGCUCGAGCUCGAGCUCAGAAUAUUAAGCUCGUUAGCUCGCGAGCUUGAGUAUAUAUAUAUAUAUAUAUAUUUAUUUUUAUUUAAUAAUAAAAUUACGUAUAUUAUAUAUAUUUUUUUAUUUUUUAUUUUCAUAGUAAAAUUACGUAUAUGUCCUUAAUAUUUUAUUAUUUAUUAAGAAAAAAAUAUUAUUUUAUUUAUUUAUUUUUUAAUAAAAUAUUUAUUUUUUAUUUUUUUUCGAGCUCGAGCUCGAAAUUUGCCGGCUCGUCGAGCUCGAGCUCGAGCUCGAGCUUGGUAAAAUUUAGUCGAGACUCGGCUCGAUUAGCUCAAAGCUCGACUCGGCUCGGCUCGUUUGCAGCCCUACUCCAAUCUACACUAUUGGAGCAAGACAGAAACCUCACACUAAUACUGUUCUUUGCCCUAUAAACUCUUAUAGUAGUGGAGGAAAAAUAGAAGGUAGUAUAGAGAUAGCAAAGUAUAUAUUUGGUUUGGUUGAUAGAUGCCUUAUAUAUAGGCUAAGAAUUUAGGAAUAUUAAAAUACCAACAUUAAUAGGAAUUAACACCUCAUAUUUCAGUUACAAAUUGAAAAGACUAGAUUCAUUGUAUAACGGUAAAAAAUUACCAAAUGGAUUCAUAAAACCUAAUCAUUACAUAAGUUACAAAUGCAAGACACAAAUCCCAUAAGUUACACGUUUAAAUGUUUCAAUUUGUAACUGAAAAUUUAUUUAAAGAAUUUGUAAUUUAUUUUAUUUGAAUUCAAAAUAAAUAUGUGAUAUUUUUUAUUAAAAUAUCCAACACAUUGUAAUGAUAUUGCUCGAACAAGCUGCUCUGCUCUUCCUCAGACGAGUUUUACAAGUCAAAUUCUUUACAGCGCAAAGCGAUAACAGGAGUAUGAUAGAAAAAUAUUCAGCAACUAGAGAGAAUGAGAGUAAACUAUUUCCAAAUAAUAAAUAAAUAAUAUAUCCUCUCACUCAAAAAAAAUGACAUCGGUCCAAUAUUAUCCACACACAUUCAUGCACAGGUAAUUAUUGGAAGUACGAUUCAUGUCAUAAAUGAAUCAUGUGAAUUCAGACAUCCUUGUAUCGAUAAAAAAAAAAAAAAAAAAAAAAAAGAUAAUUCAGACGCUGCACCAGACCAUUACACGUAGUUAUGUUCCCAUGGUCGGCCUUUGGGCACAUUAUCCCGUUUUUGGAGCUCGCAAAACUCAUAGCUCAAAGGGGUCACGAGAUCACCUUCAUUUUCACCCCAAGAAACAUCGAUCGCCUCCCAGAAAUCCCACCAAUUUUUGCUUCUUCUAUAACCUUCGUCAAAAUUCCACUGCCCAGAGUUGAAGGACUUCCGGAAAAUGCGGAGGCCACCAUGGACAUCGGUAACGAGGACAUUCCCCAUCUCAAGAAGGCCUAUGAUGGGCUCGAACCCGAGUUGACUCGCUUUCUCGAGAGCUCGCUUCCGGAUUGGAUUAUCUUCGACUUUGCUCCUUACUGGUUGCCUACAAUUGCUGCCAAGCGGGGAAUUUCUAAAGCAUUCUUUUCAUUUAUCAACUCAUGGUUUUUGGCAUUUCUAGGACCGUCAGAUGUAAUGAUCAAUGAUGCAGAUCCAAGAUCGACGGUCGAGGAUUUCAUAGUUCCUCCCAAGUGGGUUCCUUUUGAGACAAAAGUGGCGUACGAGCCGUACGAGAUCAACUGGAUUCUAGGAGCAGGUCAGGAGAAUGUAACCGGAGUGUCUGACAGCUCCCGUUCGGGAAUGUUAAUGAAGGGUUCUGAUGUUAUUGCCGUAAGACAAUCCUACGAGUUUGAAGGGCAGUGGUUGAAGCUUCUUGAGGAGCUGCAUCAAAGAAAAGUGAUUCCUUUGGGAUUAAUGCCACCUCAGGUGGAAAAGAUUAGCAAUGAUGGGAAUGAUUCCUGGGAUUCAAUCAGGGAAUGGCUUGGUGUUCGAAACAAGGGCUCAGUUUUGUACGUCGCAUUAGGGAGUGAGGUGCCACUCAGUCAAACGGAUGUCACUGAGUUGGCACUCGGGUUGGAGUUAUCUGGGGUGCCAUUUUUCUGGGGCGCUACGGAAGCCGUCUGGAUCAACCGAGUCAAUUCAGGUGCCAGAUGGGCUUGAGGAGAGAGUCAAGGGGAGAGGGAUUGUGUGGAAAGGCUGGGCCCCACAGUUGAAUAUACUGAGUCAUGACUCAGUGGGUGGGUUCUUGACUCACUGCGGUUGGAGUUCAUGCAUAGAGGGACUUGUGUUUGGUCAUCCGCUGGUUAUGCUCCCAUUUUUGGUGGACCAAGGGUUGAACGCCAGGGUUAUGGAGGAUAGGAAGGUUGGAAUUGAAAUACCCAGGACUGAGCACACGAGAGACUCAGUGGCUGAGUCUGUUAGGCUUAUUAUGGUUGAAAAUGAAGGGAAAAUUUUCAGGGAGAAGGCUAAAGAAAUGAGUGGAAUAUUUGGAGACAGAGAAUUGCAUGACGGUUACAUCCAAAAAUUUAUAGAUUAUUUGGAGAACAAUAGACACAAUCCCAUGGAUGGAUUCUGCCACUAGGACCCUUGUGCUAUGGGAAUGAUGGUUAACAAAUCAUGUUCGAUGACUUGAGGGGUAUGAAAAUUUUAUUGUUAUAGCAACUGUGCCUUUUUUUUUUUUUUAUAAUUUUUUUGGGAGCAACUAUGGGCAUUCAUUGAUCAAACGAUUCCCUUGGGUGCAUGCGCGUAAUUGUGUUGGACAGUUUAAUACACUCAAUUCCCUUCCACUUUGUAUUGCUAUUGGAUCGGGGAAUUGGCGAUUAGUUUUUGAAACAUGAAAUCAGCAACUGGUUGAUUUUUGACGAAUAGAAUUUCUAUUAAGGAAAAGUGUUGUUUAACACGUAAGAAGAAUAGAAAAUGAACACGACAAGAAGCCUGUUUACUUGCUUAUUAUAACAGGAAAACAGCGUCUAAUUAUCUAGAAACAGUUCUUGUAUCCGCUGCAACAAGAAGUAAUGUGAAAUUUCACUACAUAUCCAAAAAACCAGACAGUUACAUUUUUGCCAAAAACUCAAUGCAGUGUGACAGUGAACCUGUGAUUACAAAACCGAGAGGCCCCAGUCAUCAUUGCAAAUUUCUCCAAAAAUAUCAGCGGCGUGAUAGCAACUCGUGCAUUGAUUUGUGGUACGUAGCGCUCCAGGAUGAAGCGUCUAGGAUGAAUACCCAACAGAAGAACAACAACGAAUAUGUCAUCAACACCUCAAGAAAAGCUGUAGGCGAGGAGAAAAAUCAUAGAGCUAAAAUUCCAAUACUAUUUCAUGGCAGACAAAUCCAGCAGCUUACAUGUUGUCAUGCUUCCUUGGUUAGCCUUCGGCCAUUUCAUCCCUUUUCUAGAGCUCUCAAAAUUCAUAGCUCGGAGAGGUCACAAAGUUAGCUUCGUUUCCACCCCUAAAAACAUCGAUCGCCUCCCUAAAAUCCCACCAAAUUUAGCAUCUUCUAUUAGCUUUGUAAAAAUCCCACUCCCCCCAGUCGAUGGGCUUCCCGAAAAUGUGGAGGCCACCGUAGACCUCGGCGGUCUUGAUGUUGCCGUUCUCAAGAAAGCCUACGACGGACUUGAGCCCGAGUUGACUCGUUUCUUGGAAUCCUCAGUUCCGGACUGGAUUAUUUACGACUUUGCCCCAUAUUGGAUACCUCACAUCGCAGCUAAGCUCAACAUAUCUAAAUCAUUCUUUUGUAUUUUCAGCGCUGCCAGUCUGGUAUUCUCUGCACCCUCUCUUGAUGCGAUGGUCGCGGGUACUGAUCCCAGAACUAAGCUCGAGGAUUUUACGGUUCCACCGAAGUGGAUCCCAUUCAAGAGUAAAUUGGCUUUCAAGUUACACGAGAGUAGAUUUGUUGUGCGAAGCAAGAACCUAGAUGGAUCGGGUGUAUCGGAUAUGUAUCGGGUCGGAUCGGCCAUAAAGGGUGCUGAUGUUACAUUGAUAAGAUAUUGCCCCGAGUUUGAAGGCCAGUGGUUGAAGUUGCUUGAAGAUUUGCUACAGCGGCAUAUAAUACCGCUGGGAUUAAUGCCACCCCCGAUGGAAAAAAGCAUCGUCGAGAACAACGAGUCCUGGAUUGCAAUCAAGGAUUGGCUUGAUGGUCAAGGUAAAGGCUCGGUGGUUUUUGUGGCACUUGGGAGUGAGGUAUCACUGAAUCAACUCCAACUCAGUGAGUUAGCUCUUGGGCUGGAGUUAUCCGGGGUACCAUUUUUCUGGGCACUAAGGAAUCCAUCUGGGCUGCCAGAGGGGUUCGACGAUAGAGUCAAGGGAACGGGUAUCGUUUGGAAGAAUUGGGCACCUCAGCUUAACAUACUGAGUCAUGACUCAGUGGGUGGAUUCCUGACUCACUGCGGGUGGAGUUCGAGUAUAGAGGGGCUCAUGUUUGGUCAUCCGCUCAUUAUGCUGCCCUUUAUCAUAGAUACGGGGUUGAUUGCCAGGAUAAUGGAGGAAAAACAGGUGGGGAUAGAAAUACCGAGAAAUGAUGUAGAUGGAUCGUAUACGAGCCACUCGGUGGCCAACUCGGUCAGGUUGAUUAUGGUGGAAAACGAAGGUAAAAUCUUCAAGGACAAAGCUAAAGAAAUUAGUGCAAUAUUUGGAGAUCAGGAUUUGCAUGACAGUUACCUGCACAAGUGUGUAGAUUACUUGGAAAAUAAAAGACAUGAAUCCAAAUAAGAACUGUGUUGGAAACUUUUGCACGGUGGAUACACUAAUCAGUAUUCAUUGUGCCCAUUCUGCCAAGACCACCAUUAGUGUCAAAUACAUCCUAUCUGAUACACUUUAUUUAGCAUCUAGCUUUAGGAAAAUUAGCCUUAUUAAAGUUGAUAGAUUAGAAUAAUCUGUAUUACAUGAGCUGGCCACUUGUACCAGACGUUUGUACUCUUGCUUCUUUUAAUACUAGCAUGGGUUUGGCCGUGCUAUGUACUGGCCUACCACUGAUAUGAUCAAUUUAAUUAUGGAUUAAAAAAUUACUAUUUAUUGAUUUUUUUUUAUUUUUUGAAUUUGCUGUAACAACGAGGAUAAUUUGCUAAAAGGUCAUAAUGUAUAUAUAGAUUCAAGAGGUAAAUAAUAUGCAAAUUACAACCAUAAAUUACAUAAACUAACCAUGAAAAAAAGUAAAAAGUCUAAAAAAGAAUGUAGAAAAUUGCUGUCCAAAUGGAAAAAAGUAAAAGUCUAUAAAAGAAUCCUUAUACUAUAUAAGAACGAGUUUAGAACUAAAUUUCAACCGCAGGGGUGAGGCUAUUUUGGGAAUAUGAGAGUGUUUGAAGAGUAAUUUGAACAUUGAGUACAAGUCAUUAUAGCUUUAAUUUCACUAUAAUUACUUAUAUAACCUUUCAGACAUUUAAGGUUAGGGGCAGGUUUGGUAUAUUACAAUGUUUGGUGCCAAUUUGAGUAUCAAGUACAACUGAAUAAAGCUUGUAUUUUGAUAGAAUUACAUAAAAAUCCUUUUAAUCAUUUAUUAUACUAACAUCCAAGCCUUCCAAUUUCUUGAAACCUUUCUCAUCCGUUAAGGAAUUAAUUGGAUAUUUACAUAAUUGGAUUUUAAUUACAAUCAAUUAACUUAAUUAUUAUCUGAACAAUUAUUAUCAUAUUUAUAUUCCCAUGUUUAGCCGAUACCCUUUCUUCUUUUUCGGUUUCACCUCUUUGAUUUUAUUAUGGCUAUUAAAUAUUUGGUGAAAUGCAUAGCUUUUCCUUUAAAUUGAGGUGAGUUCUUUGAGUUUGUCUUUUUCGAUUGUAGUUUUUUUUUUCUGAUGAUUGGUUUAUUCAAGAACUCCAUAUAGUUUGUCUUUUGAUACUUCUAAUUCCAAAAACUGACUAAUUGUAUUGUUUUUCUUAGUAGUCCCAAAGAUUCUGUUUUUGGUCAAAGUACAAUUUGAGAUAAUGUUGUUACUUUCUAAAAUAAUCAGAAAAGCAAUUUUAUCAUAUUCUCCUCCUGAGCCAAGGUAUUAUCUAUUUAUUUAAGUCAAAUAAACUUAUUUCUCAUGAACUUUCUUAUAUUAUUCUUGACUCCAGGGAUCUGUUGACUACAUUCCAGCAGUUAUGGUUCAAGUAAUUAUUUUUUCAUGUAAUAUGAUUUGGAAUUCAGCUUGUGUUUAUUUUAAUUGGGAAUUUUAUGAUUGUAAAAUUUAUUAAUUUAGAAUUUUGUACUUCAUUGAAACUAAAAAAUAAAAUUAAUCAUGCUACAUAGUACUAAGAUGUCAUUUGCACUCUAUUUGCUUUCCAUGUUAUGAUCUCGUUCUUGUAUUAUACUGUUUAUAUAGUUUUAAAUACAAAAAAUUUGUUUUUUUAUGCUAUGUAAAAGAAUUUGUAGUGGAACUUGAUGAGUUUAAAUACUUUAACUACAGCACCAUUUUGAUUGCAUUGUAUUAAUUCAUUUACUCAUCAUUGUAUGUUGUACAAUGAUAAAUAAUGUUUCUUGAUUUGAUUGAAACAACUAUUAUCCAUAGUUCAAACAAGUCAAUUAAGUAGAGAUGUUAUAUUGGAUACUUAUACAAGUAAACAUUGAAAAAUAUCAUUAAGUAGUUUCUACCUAUAGUUUGCAAUUCGAAUUCAUAUAAGAAAUUUCUUCUGAUUUUACUUACCAUUUUCUAUAAUUUCAAAUUUAGAAACUAUUAUUUGCACCAAUUUUUUAUAAUCAAGAUAGUUUCAAUUCAGAUCUUUAACAAUUAUGCAGAUUUGAAUUUAUUUAUGAGAUUAUAAAGAAAUGCCUCUAGCAAAAAAUACCAAAUCUGAAUAGUUUCUACAAAAUUUUGAAAAAGACCACUUAAGUUUCUUAUCUAUCUAUCAUUUUUGGGCAUUAUUAUCUCUGUAAGAAACAUGUGAUUAAGUCGUAUUAUACCCACCAAAUUAUAUAAAUAGUUAGUAAAAAAUAAAAUUAUUUUAGAUUAGAUUGGACGCAAAAUGAUUGAUGGAUAAACUUGACUUGAUAAUUCAGAUUGAGCUUAAGUCGAGGGAAAAAUCAGAAGUAUUGCUCGAGGGAUCUUUCACGAACAUAUAUAGAUUCGAGAAAUGAAGGGUCCAAUUGAUACUUUAAAAUGUUUUAUCAUCUUGGAUAAGUUUUAGAAGAGACCUUCGGAUACUUUUCAAUUACACUUCAAAAAUUCUUACAUUUUCAAACUACCCUUAUCUUUGCAGUUGAAAUUCAAACAUAACCUUUGAUCACAACGAAUUCUUAUAUAGUAUAACGAUAAAGAUGUCUUAUUGCACAUUAUUUUUAUUGACUCACUAUGUAACUUAUGAUUUUUCUAUUAAAAUCACAUGAUAAAAUCAUCAUACUUCAGUUCUUAUACUACAAAAUAUUAAACAAUAAUUAUUAAUUAUCUUGAAUCACAAGCACGAAAUUCCCGCGAGUCGCACGGGCUGUCCCUCCCUAGUGUAGAAAAUGAAAUUGAGUAGUAUAAAACAUGGAAGCUGCUCAAACAUCACAGCCUUUGCUUAGCAGAUUUUUUGUUUGUCAUUUGUGUCCAAUGCCGGAAUACAAUACGAGCCUUAAAAGAUGUUUGUGCCAUAUAACUUGAAACGGGAAACUAAAAGCGGCAAAAUUGGAUAAAUGGUUAACCAAAACUCGCUACGUGCUAGUGUGAUGUGAAUAGUCGAUAAUAGUAGCGUGUUUGAUUUGGUCUGAAAACAAAUGUUUUGAGCAUAAAGCUAUCCGUACCUGAGAAGACCGACUCGUUUGGAGUAUUUAGCGAGUCUGCUGAAUUAUUAACGCUUCAUUUAAUUUGUGCAAAGACAUAUGUAAAUCUAGCUUCCAAUUCAUAACAAACAACUAAAAUCAUCAUGCAACAUUUGAAAUUAAAAACAAAGGAAAAGCAAACAUAAGCUAAUCCACAAAAUUACCAUCAUAGUGUUUCUUUUAUGCAUAACAUCAAACACAUGGCGGUCUUUAAUUAACAGAAGGCAAUUAAUAGAAGGCAACAACAUUCAAACUGAAAAAUUGCAGUUCAGAAUAGAAGGAAAGAAGAUAGAAACAUACCUUUUUUUUUAAGCAACAAUAUGAUGGAAAAAAAGCUUGUUUCAGAACAAGAAUGUCGUAUCUCUGUCACUCAUUUCCUAAGCAAAAUCAGGGACACCAACUAAUACUAAACAGAAACAAAAACAUAACGAAACUUCUAAAUGAAAAAGACCAGCACUUUGAUACUCGUUAGUCAAAAAGACUGAAGCCCAUAUCGUCAUCGGACUCCUCUUUCUCUUCUACUUUCUCCUCUUUCUUAUCCUCAGCAGCAGGUGCAGCGGCAGCACCUCCAGCUGCAGCGGCAGCAACUGCAACACCAGCACCACCACCAGCAGGUACUGAAGCCAACUUCUCCCUACCAGCUACAAUCAGCUUUGUGAUAUCCUUACCAUCCACUUGAGAUAAAAGCACAUCGAUUUUUUCAUCAUCAACAUCAGCUCCAACGGAAGCAAGGAUGGCCUUAAUAUCCUUGGCAGAGGGAUAGGUGUUUCCUCCCAACAAGGCCAACAAAUAUGCGGUGACCACCUUCAUCUCUGAGAUACAGUGGAAAUCCAGAAGAAUAGAGAGAUUGAUUGCUGAUCGGCUGCAGCGCCCGAAGAUAGGGUUUUAACGCGAGGAAAAUGAAACAUACCUAUAUUUUCUGUACUUGUACCAUACAUGAUUAAAAAUUCUUUUUUGAAAGUAAACAUCACUUCAAAUCAAAUACCCGGGAAAAGAUGAGAGUUUCAGUGCUAAAUUCAAACCAAGUACCAAAAUGAUUGAUAAAUUGGUACCGGAUUCAUCCCUAAAGUGAGCUAAUUUUGAGGGAAAAGAAGUAUCACUGAACUGAUUUUGGGGGCAAAAGAAAUCUUCACGUGUAUGUGGAGGAUUUUUUGGGUUGCAAUCAAAAGGAAGUACAAUUAAUUGUUGGAGGAAUUGAUAGAAAAGUGAAGAUUUUGCAGACUUACAGGUACCUAUCUCACCGAAAGACGGGGGAAGGAAAUUCUGGUUCUGAAAGCUAAACAACGACCAAAAAUGAUGAUUAAUAGAGAAUCAUUAGGGCUAAGUGUUAAACUAACCACUUGUUAAUUAUGGUGCUUCACUAACUAACGGGUCUAACAUGAGUUAUACUAAUAAGACUGACUCCAUUAUCUUAAUUAAUCCAAAAACAGCCCAUGUGAUAAAAGGGCCCACAAAUAGUCUACAACUAUUUGUAUUUGAUCAGAAAAUUAUGAAAGAAAUAAUUUCAAAUGUACAAAAAUAACCCUAAAUAGUUAACAACUAUUUAAAGAGCUAGUUUUCAUAAAAGGAUUCAAUUGACCUUUCCCACCAAUUAAAAACCAAACAAAAGGAACAAAUGAAAAUAAUUAAAUCAUUUUUACCAAUUAGCCCCUAAAUAGUAAGGAACUAUUAAGCCUUUGAAUUUGGACACCAAGGCUCAAAUAGACAUUUCUCACUCUUUAAUGGCCAAAAUAAAGAAACGAAAAUUGCUUCUUACAAUGACACCUUGACACUUGGCAUCAAUGAAGAACUUGAGUUGUUCUCUUAUCUAGUUGGUAGAUAUUUUGCUUUGCUUGAUUAAAAAAAAUGUAUCCAUUGUGGAUUUUCUUUUGUAUUUUUAAUUUAAUUGUUACUAAAAUUACAUCAUUUCCUUCACUAAGAAUGUCCAUUACAUCUUGUACAAUCGUCCAGAAAGGUUUAUGAUCAUGAUUUGACAAAAAAAAAAGUUAAGAUUCAUAUCAUAUCUUCUACAUCGAUUUUAAUAUCAUAUGUGACAUCCACAAAAUUUUAUUCUAUGAUUACAAUAUAUUAAAAGUGAAUUACAUUCUAAACAAAUAAAAUUAUGUCCUGUAAAAUAGAAAAAAAAAUCAAUCCAAACAAUUUUUCUAAUGACCGUUUAAGUCCCUAGCCCCCACAUAAACCACUCCCACCAUUCACUUAGUCAAAAGCAAGAACAAAGACAAGAUGGCAGAAUCCAUCCUUGUGAUUGUGUCUAUUGUUCUCCAAAUAGUCGAUAAUAUAUUAUUUUUUCAAAUAAUUUUUUACAAAAUCCAGAUUUAUAAGUAUUUGUCAGGGGUUUUAAUUAGAUUUCUUGGGUCAGGUUCAGCAAGCCCAAACUUGGUUCAUAAAUUAUACAAAUUUUUGUGUUUCGAACUUUCGGGCUCUGAGUUCAAAUUAAAAUCUCAAGUUUAGCUCAUGCUAUUAUAUGAGUUUCAAGCUCAAAUCGAAUUCGGUACAAACUCAUAAUUAAAUGCAUAAUUAUAUAUAAUAUAUAUUUUAUAAUUAUGAAUUAAUAUAAAUUCAUAUAUAAGUCAUUAACAUUUUAUGUCGUAGUAUGUAUAAUUAUUAACUAUAGAUAUUAUUAUACAUAUUUUACAUAUGCGAUUAUACUCAUAUAUGGAUUGGACUUUAAUUGAAUUUGAGUCUAGUUUGAUUCAAACUCAACCCAAAUUUAGUUUGGCCCUAAUAUUUAAGUUCGAAAUUUGUCUGAUCGAAUUAAAACUUAGGUUCAGUGAACUUUUUCGAGCCGAACUCGAGUUGAUCGGAUUUCAUUGACAAUGCUAGUAUUUGGAUAAGAGAUUAUUUUAAUAAGAUAAUAUUUUGAAAAAAUUGUGUAAUAUUUUUUAUGAUAUAAUUUAUGUGAGAUAAAAAAGUGAUUGAAAAAGAUAAAUAAUAUAUUUUCGAUGCAAUUAAUUAAAAACUCGUUUGGAUUGCUAAUCAGUGGGUUCUAUCUUUCCUUCACCGCUGUACAGCUACGCGUUCACUGUGACUUGACGUUGAUUUUGAUGAGAUCAACAACAAUUUUAAGGAAAGACGUCUAAAAAUAGACUAUAGAGUGGAUGCAGAGGAUGAUGUAGGCUAGCACAAACCACGUGCAACUGCAGGGGGAUGGAGUUUGGUGCCAUGGUCUGAGCCCUGAGGCGGCUAAUAUUGCCACAACUAUAAUCAUACUGCCACACCACAUCUUAUUUUAUUACCAAAAAUGUCCUUUAGAAGUCAAAACUUACUGCGUGACUCCUAGUCCCAUUUUUUUGGGCCCCACCCUAAGGGUUUUGGCACGGGAAUGACGAUAAUUCUAAUACUUAGGGUCUGUUUGAUAACAUACAAAAGUGCUGAAACUAAAUCUUUUCAGACAUUCACAUAUUUUGAGUGUUUGAUAAAUGAAAAUCCAUCUGCUGAACUUAUUAAGCAGUGCUGAAUUUGUGUUUAUCUUUUUGAGCACAAGAAUCCUAACUAAGUGCCUGUUUGAUAACAUAAAAAAAUGCUGAAACUGAAUUCAUUCAGACAUUCAGAUGUUGCGGGUAUUUGAUAAAUAAAAAUUCACCUGCUGAACUUAUUAAGUGGUGCUGAAUUUGUAUGUAUUUUUUCAGCACAAGAAUCGUAGCUGAAUGCUUAAUUUGAUAAGAGUCAAGAGAUUUACUUCAACUACUUUAUCUUAUCUACCAAAUAUAUCCCUGUUUGUUAAUUACAUUCAAAAUCCUUAUUUAAUUAAACAACCUAAUAUUCCCUAUUCAAAAUUCUUAUCUAAUUAAACAAAACAACCUGAUAUUCUCUAUUCAAAAAAUUUUUUUAACAAUAAUAUUUUUUUGCAGUAAUUUUCAUCCACAAACAUUUAUAUUUUGAUAUUUUUUUUGUGCAGAUAAAUAUUAUUUAUGUGAUGCAGCUUAUCCAUACACACGUGACUUUAUGACACCAUAUCGAAAUAUUAGAUAUUGGUUGUUUGAUUUUCGAAAUGCUUCUCGUCUAAGAUCAAAAGAAAAACGCUUUAACCAAGUACAUGCAAGAUUGAGAAAUGUAAUUGAACGUGCUUUUGGAGUAUUAAAAGCUCGUUUUUUCAUUAUCAAAACGAUGAAAUCAUACUCUUUUCCCACACAAAGAAACAUUGUCAUUGUAUGCAUUGCUCUUCACAAUCAUUGUCAUUUUCAUACCUAACAAUUUUAAGUUAAUUAAAUCAUAGAUUCUAUUUCCUUUUUGGAUUAAAAGAUAGAAGGGCAAAAUUGUAUAAUUUAGUUUAUUAAGCAUUAAGUUAUGAAUAUUUAUCAAACAGUAUAAAUAGAUUCAGCAUUAAUAUUCAGACAUUCAUAUAUCUCUUUUCAGUACUUAAAAUUCAGCAAAUUAAUUAUUUCAGUAUUCAGAAUUCAGAUUCAGUGUUAUCAAACGGAGCCUAAAUGCUUAAUUCUGAUAAGAAUCAGUAGAAUUACUUCAACUACCUUAUCUUAUCUACCAAAUAUACCCUUGUUUGUUAAUUAGAUUCAAAAUUCUUAUCUAAUUAAACAAUCUGAUAUUCUCUAUCUAAUGGUUUCUGUUUCUCUUUUCUCCUUUUUUAAUGACUUUCACAUCUUUUCAUAUUUUUCAUAUAAUAUAUUUCAUAUUUUAUAUUAAUUUGAUUUAAAAAUAAAUAUUAUCAUUUUCACACUUAACAAUUUUAAACUAAUUAAAUCAUAGGUUCUAUUUAUUUUUUGAAUGAAAAGAUAUAAGGGCAAAAUUGUCAAAUUAAAUUUAUUAAACAUUUAGUUAUAAAUAUUUAUCAAACAGUAUAAACAAGUUUAGCUUUAAAAUUCAGACAUUCACAUAUUUCUUUUCAGUGCUUAAAAUUCAGCAAAUUAAUUGUUUCAAUAUUCAGAUUUCAAAAUUCAGAUUUAAUUUUAUCAAACGGAACCUUAGUGCUUGGUACACUGUAAUAGGAAUUGAAAUAUUGGAAUCAUAUCCAAAAAUUUGGGGAUUCAUGAUUCCUGACUAAAUUGGGAGGAAUCACUCAAAAUCCUCAAUUCAUUUCCAAUAAUGAAUAAAUAAAAGAUAAAAUAUUUUGAUAAAAUACUUCCUUUCUCCCUCUCCCACCAUCAAGCCUCCCCUUCGUCACUUGCCUUCAACACUCCUCUCUCUCCCAUGGCAUCUGACAACUCCUCCCUCUUCCUUUGUUUCUGACCACUUUUCCCUCCUCCUCGACAUCUAACAACACCCCAUCCUACUUUGUUUCCAAUUUUCCUCCUUUUCCAUGGCAUCUGACAAAUCCCUCCUUUUUUCCCAAUGUCCGUCACUUUCCCAUCGCCCCAGUAGACCUUUUCCUCUCCUCCCUCGCUAUCAAAUCGUCUUCCCCAUCACAAUCGAUCUCUUAAGUUCUCUUCUCUUUGUGAAGGGCUCCAACUUGAUUACAUUGUAUGGUGAUUCUAACAGGUUUUAGCAGAGAACGAAAUUUGCCGUUUCUGUUUGGAAAAUUUUUUGCGAAUGUCUGAAAGUUCUGGUUGCAAUUUUUUGAGAAAAGGGAAAAAAAUGACAAACAUCCAGAUCUUUUAUUGAUUAGUCAUGAGUUUUUGUUGGUAAUUGUUAAACAAAGAACCAAAAAAAGAUUUGGAUUGGUAGUAAUUCAGUGGUGGUCCGAUGGUGGGUGAUAGGUUGCAAUUUUAUCAUUUAUUUUAUUAUUAAUUUCCCUAGUACUUGACCUGAUGUGAAUUAAUUGUUAGAUUCUACUCACUUUUCGUAAUUUAUAUUUAUUUCAGGGAGUAGAACAAAAAUAUCACAAUAAAGGCCAAUUUGUUAGUUAUCGGGAAAGAGUUCACAUAGCAAGCAAUCGAGGACAUUUUUUGAACAAGGAGAUACAAGUCCUUUUUGGUAAUUCGCAGAGGGCAACAUUAAAAGGAGGAACGCAGGGUUGAAGUGGAGAGUCUUCUUCCCCCUGGGGGAACCGCCGCACAGCAGAGGGCUGUCUGGUCCUCUUAGUUUUUCCGUUUCUUUAGUUUUAGCUUAGGAUUUUGACUUUUCUUCUCGUAGGAAUUUUGGGUAGCCUUUAGCUUAGCAACUUUUGUUGACCCUUUUUUUGGCCUUUUAGCUAGUUUGUUCUUACGCAUGGAAGAUGGCUGAAUAGCUGAGGCUUGUUCUUCACGAAUUGAAUUCCCUCAACUUGCGAAUUGAUGGUGGGCAUGAUUAUCAAUCCAGGAAAGAGAACAAUAAUUUAAAAAAUGAAAAAUUAAUUUUGAUGCCAUUCCAACUAUGUUUAUACCAAGCACCAGUCUGUAGAAUGAUACGAGGGGUUCGAACCCAUACUGAUUUUUUGUAUAUCAUUCCAUCUCCAAUUCCAAUUCUAGAACAUGAAACAAGCACCCCCUUAGUAUUUCCUCAGUUGUCGGUCUUUCCUCUCCUUUUCCCCAACCCCAGCCUCCCUACUGAACUAGAAAAGACCUCCCCACUGAACAAACAAUUACCGCCUCGGGGGCAGAGCUAGAAAAGAAAUUUAGUGAGGGUAAAAUUAAGAUAUAAAAUUUUACUAGUUACAAUAUGAAAAAAUAUGUUUAACUAACAAAGCAUGAAAUUAUGCGUAUAAUUAGUCUAUAAUUUAGCAACAAAAUAAAGUAUCUCUCAAAUGUCAAAUCCCUAAUAAAGGUGACAGGUGCCGAACCUGUACAAUAAUAAAUAUCUACUCGAGAAAAAUACAGAUUUUGUAUAUAGCGGUGAGUAUGGUCGAACCCACAGGGACUGGAGAUAAUUCGUUUUUUUUAGAGUCCAAAGUAUGGGGGGUUUUGGAUUGAAUGCUAACUAAAUAAAUUAACUGCAGAAAAUAAUUAAUUAAAAGAAAUAAUUGGAGAAACUCUAGCCAAGGGUACACUUCAGAAAUGGUUCAUGCAACUGAUCAUCGAUUCAAAUAUAAUUCCAACAUUUAUUAAUAUAUUAGUUAUAGUUGUCAUGCAUGCGAUAAACAACCAACCUUUCCUUAGUUUUUCGAUAGUUAAGGUACGACCGUUAACUAUUUCUCUAACCCAAAAAUAAUCUUAAGUACGACCGUAAGAUUUAAUUUCUAGAUUGCAUUAAUAAUUAGAAAUACCCAAUCCUAACUAACAAACACGCUACGAGGGUUUGUUUAAGCUAGAUCGUAUGUUCCCCUGACAUAAACCCAAUUACGCCAGUUGCUACUGAGAUAGAGAUAACGAACAAUUACAGAUUUCAUUACCCCUAUUUAGCAAAAUAACCUAUAUGAAUAAUUAAUUAUUGCGCACUAAUCAAUCAUACAUAAGGGUUACAACAAUUAAAAGCAGGAAACAUAUAAAUACCAAUAAAUGAGAAAAACAAUUAAAAGUGGUUUAGAUCUCACAGUAAUUGCUGAACCAAUUCAUCAGUUGUCCCCUCGACUAGAAGAAUUUAGCCACGCCUCAUGGAAAAAUCUCCACGUAAUUUAACUGAGGUCCAGGCCAUCAAAAGAACCAAGAAAGAAUAAAAACUAAACUAUGCCAAAAGCUAAGCUAAAACUAUUCAUUAUAGCCGCCUGUACCUUUCUCCCUUUCUAAAGCCAAAAGAAAGUCUAAUGCUAUCGCUAGUGGUCCCCACUCAAUUGAGAGUCCAAGGGCCAAAGAAUUGGUGCUUUGCUAAAGUCCUUGUUUUUAGUUUCCUCUCUACCCGUAAGACUCCUAGUACAAGUCCACCCUUUUCAGCAUAAAGAGAGGAAAUCCCUUUUUGUAGCAUCCUGUGGAGCCCCGCUUGUAUUUCCUUUUAGAACUUCCCAUGUGUGGAGUAUUUUUCUCAAUAAAAUCUCCUUUUUAGCACUUGUUUGCUCCACUCCCUGUAAUUAGAGCCAAAUACCAAAUAUAAGUACAUUUCAACAAUUAAAACAAUAUUUGGCAAGAACAAAGAGGGAAAUUAAUCAUAAAAUUAACAACAAAUUAUGCCCUAUCAAAAGGAUUCUUCCACUUCUCCACUCACAACUCUAAAAAUUUUCUCUAGAUUUUUGUUAAAAUGAAAUAAAAAUGAGCAAUAUUUGUGAGUUCCAAUGUGUUGUGAAAAAUGUUUAAAAAUUUUCAAAUGGAUUUCUAUACUGGGAGCAUAUUAGAAUAGAUUUAAAAAAAGAAUAAAUGUAAUUUGAAUCUCUUUCUUUGUUUAGACAAGGUAGUGUCAUUUUUUUUAGUUGUUGUUAAAUUAUUUGAUAUAGGAGAUACAAACAAAAUAUACACAAUUAUUUUAAAUUUUGUUUAAGGAUAGUGAGGAUAAUUUCAUUUAAGUGUGAGGCCAAGCCUGCAAUUUUAUAUGCAGAUACAAAGAAUUUAGUGGGGACAAUCCUCUAAUACUUUAAAUUUUAUUGAAGAGUAAUGGGGAUAAUUUCAUUUAAGUGUGGAAACAAAACCAUAAUUCUAUACAUAGAUAUGGAGAUUAUGGUGGGGUCAAUUGCCCUCCACUAACCCCCACACUGCCUCCAUCACUGUUACCGCCUGUAAUCAAAGCGGACGCAAGAACCUCUGCGGACGCUAUCUCAAUCUUCUCCUCAAAAAUGUCCUAGAAUACAUUAUGCUUCAUUUUGUACACCAAAGGAAGCAAGUCCAUCCCAAUUAUAGCCCUUUUUUUUUUCUAACAUUUUCUUGACGAAAGCAAGCAUUUGACAAAUAAAUCUAAAAUUUUCGAGCAACUUUCAUAAGCCGGCAAAUAAACCAAUUAUAGCCCUUUCAUGCGGGGUUUUUGUUGAUCCCAUCAAAAUCAAUGUACGUCAUGGUGAACGUAUAGCUAUAUAGCGGUGCUAAUCACUUGCUAGAGGGUGAUAUGUCAUGUAGCAUAGGCUAAAAGGCCAGCCUUGAUAAAUUUGAAUAAAAAAAAAGACGUGGGAAAAACCAAAUCGAUAAUUCACGAAGUCAUAUACUGGUACAAAGUUCUUUGUUCAAACAAUGGAUCGUCACCAUUAGCCUUUAUUUGUUCAAACGUCUCGACUCCAACGGACUUUGCGCACUCAGAGUCAAAUUAUUGGACUUUUGGUCUUUUAACAUGCUAUAUUUCUACAAUCCUAUUCGGGUUUUGCCCUCCGCGACGCUGUUUAAAACUUCUAAAUAACACAAGAAACAUGACGAAAAGCAUGUUUAUUUGAUUAUAACAGGAAAACAUAUUGCCUAGAACGGUUAAUAUGCAUAUGUUAAGCAAUUUGACUCAACUUAAAAUUUUGUAGUUACAAGAUAUUAGGGUUUCUUUAUUUUUAGUUAAAAACAUUAAAAUUUUUUAGUUUUUGAAUAAAACUAUAUAUAUUAUUCUGACUUUCGAUCUGCAAUAAACAAGUUCUUACUUCUUGGGUGUGCUCAAAUUAUGGAUGAUAUGUAAAUAUUCAAAGAUUGGAUAGAUUUUCUUCAAGACGCUAUUCUGCUUAUAUAAUAUAGGAAACUCUAGUAGAUGUGCCCUUUUUUGUUUUUUAACUAUAUAGAGGGUCUAUAGGGACUCACAACAAAUAUGAAUUUAGAAUACUUAACCAAACAAAUUAUGUAUUCACGAAAAGAAAUUGCCUUGUUGACGUUAAUUUAUCAUGUGAUUUUGACACAUAAACCUAUAAAUAAUCUAGGUUAGGUUUGAACGUUUAUAAUUACAUAAAUACUUGUUGAUGACACAACAUGAUCCAAUCCUUCUAUGCACUCGCAUGAUACCACAUUUCGUGAUAAGAUCGCGAGUGUGUUUGGACAGGAGAUUAUUUGAAAUAAUUAUUAUAAUACUUUUUGUGAUGUGAUGUAUGUGAGAUAAAAAGGUGGUUGGAAAGAUAAAAAGAUGUGUUGGAAAUAUUUGUGACGCAAGAAAAUUAUUUUUGGCCAAAUAAUGGCUAUCCGAUUUUUCUUCAUUAUGCAUCUCAUAUUUUUAUUUAGGGUUAAAUGCAAACCCCCCUCCCCCCCCCCAAACAAACUAUAUAUGCAGUUGUAGUUUACCCUCUAAACUAUAAUAAUAAGCAUUUUGCCCCCUUGAACGAUAUGUUUGAACAACACUAUCCGUACUAUCUUAUAUUUUUUCUUUUUUCUAUUCUUUUUUUUCAUUUUUUCCUUUACUCCCCUUUCUUUUUUCCCCUUCUCUCAUAGAACUAGCCAAUAUUUCCCUCCAGGGACGAAAGACUUACGUCAAACUUUUUAAAAUUUUUAAAUUGCUUUUUAAUUUGUUUAUUUGUUAAAUUCAUUCUUAAUAAUUCAUCAUAAACUCUUUGUUAUUGCAAAAGAUAUGUAGCUUGUAACAUAAAGUGUGUUAAUCUUGUAAUUCAACAAUUUAAGUACCUAUAAACCAAUUAGAGUUCACAACUAUUCAACUAUUUAUAACAAAAUUAACAUAUUAUAUAUCACGUAAGAAAGAAAAGUUAUAUGUGCAGUGAAACAAAAGAUAAGAAUAAACAACAAUAGUAGUUCAUUUUUUUUUAUUUGUUAUUGAUACUAGUAAUAAUUGAUUAAUCAAUAUCUCUAUUUUGUUCUUAUAUAUUUGAAUAUUUCAAUUUCUUAAAUGACAUUGACUUCAACAUUUGGAAAAAAAAUCUUGUAUACCAUAAAUUUAUUUUCUAAAACAUUGACACACGAAAUUAAGAUAUAAACAAGUUUUGACUAAUCUAGUAUACUGAUUUAAACAAUGCUUAAAGAAAAUAAAAAGGAAGAAUCUAAAAGAAAAUUAUAGGGAAAAAAGAAAAAUAAUGAUGCUUAAGAUAAAAGAUAUAGAUUUGUCCAAAUAUAAUGUGAAAGGGGACAAAGUACUUAUAAAAGUAACUCAGAAGGUAAAAUGCAACCAGGUAUAUGGUUGAUGGAGGAGUUUUUUACAUUUGCUAAUAAUUCAAGAACAUUUGAAGCAAAUGUUAAUCUUUUUAUUUUUCCGAUAGAUUCGACUUUUACAGUCAUCAACUUAAUAUUGACAUAAUACUAUAUAUAUCAAUGUUUUGAAAAUCAGACCGGUUCGACAUAUUGAACUGCAAACUAGCCAUAUCUCUAAUCCGAUUCAAUUGAAAAAUCAAAGAAUUAAUUGAACUAAUCAAAAUUAGUCAAGAACCGAUUGAAUCGGUAAAAAUAGAGAGGUUCAAUCGAUUUUUAUUAAGUUUUUAUUUUAUAAAUAAAUAUUUUAGUUUUAUUCAAAAUUCUUAAUACUAAAAUGAAUAAAAAAUUAUUAAAUAUUUGAAUCUGGGUCGAACUGUGAACCAGAAGAUUUUUCGGUUCACACUUCAGUUCGGGUUUAAAAACAUUGAUAUAUAUAGUAAUUAGAAUCCGAAAUCCCUGCAGUUGGUGGGCCAACUGCCAUGCAAUCAUUUGCUCAAGAUCAUGCAAGAAAGAUACGAUCUGAUCUAAUUCGCAUUAAAAUAAACUCAAAAAAUAGACGUUAUUUGAAGAUAGAUGCAUCACUCAUUGUUAAAUAGAAAAGAAAAUCGAUCUAUAGCUAUUCUAGGAAGCGUUAUAGCCAAAUAUAGUAAAUCCUAGUCUUACCCAAAAAAAAAUUUUAGCAAAUGCUAGUUACCUAGUAAGAAAGAAUUAUUUUAUAAUAUAUUACAAGAAGUGAAUUUUUAUUACACAUAAAAAAGCUAGAGAGAACAAUUUUGCUAAAUUUUCAACUUCCCAAAAAGAUCAACAAUGCAUAGUUAUUAAACCUAUCGGGGAUGAACCUUUCAAAAAAAAAAAUUUUGGGUCCACGGGUUACUGGUUCAAUUAAUGGGUGAGUGGUUCAACCGGUGGGUCACUAAAUAUAUUUAAAUAUUAUGUCUCAUAAUUUUUUAUAUGGUUGAAAUUAUAAAUUAUGCCAUAAUAAAUGCUCGAUUAGUCUAAUUUAUUAUAGAAUCAUUAAUUCUUAUAAGAAUUAACAACCUAAAUUUAAUUAGUAAUAUACCAAAUUUCAAGUAUAAAAUUUUAUCUAAAUGUAAUUAUUUAGUUUAUUUGUGAAUUUUAAGUGCAAAAGUUUAUUAAGAAUGAUAUUUAUCUUUAAAAUGAAUUGUGUAACAUAUUAUUUUUUAAGUUAAUUUCAUAACUUAUAGAGCUUGAGGAAUAAUAAAAUGUUAUUAAAAGAUUCCAAAUAGAAUUUGUUUUCAAGAGAUAAAAUAAGAAUAAAAGUCUAACAUAUAAUAUAAGAAGGAUAAAAUCAUCAACAAAUGGGUGGCUAUUCUGGGGGCAACUGUAGUCUACUUUCUUGCAUGAGGUUCUAAAUUCAAAUGUCUAUUCUAGUAUCUUCACAAAAUUUUUCCCUUAACAUGUAGCCGGUUCCUCCCGCCCGGCUCAACAGCUGGUUCAUCGAAUCUCUACUCUUAACAUCUUCACAAAUUUUUUGCCUUUAACAUCUAUUCUAACACAGUGACUUGUACAUCACUCAUUUUCCCUUAACAACAUGUGAUGCUGGAAAGGCAGUAAAUCGAAUCAAUUGGUCGGUUGGUCCACCCAUCGUACCACCCAGCUUCUAUAUUUCAGCAAGUUGUGCACUCUGCAGGCAAGGAGGAAAAAACCAUAAUAGAGUUCUAAAGUUCCGACAAUAUUUCAUGGCAAACAAAUCCGGCAGCUUACAUGUUGUCAUGUUCCCAUGGUUAGCCUUCGGCCAUUUCAUCCCUUUUCUAGAGCUCUCCAAGUUCAUAGCUCAAAAGGGUCACAAAGUUAGCUUCAUUUCCACCCCCAAAAACAUCGAUCGCCUCCCUAAACUCCCACCGAAUUUAGCAUCUUCUAUUACUUUCAUAAAAAUCCCACUUCCCCCAGUUGAUGGGCUACCAGAAAAUGUGGAGGCCACGGUAGACCUCGGCGGUCUUGAUGUUGCCUUUCUCAAGAAAGCCUAUGAUGGCUUCGAGCCCGAUUUGACUCGUUUCUUGGAAGACUCAGCUCCGGACUGGAUUAUUUACGACUUUGCUCCAUACUGGUUACCUCCCAUUGCGGCUAAGCUUAAUAUAGCGAGAUCGUUCUUCAGUAUUGUUAGCGCCUCAACUGUGGUAUUCUUUGGACCAUCUUUUCAUGCAAUGAUCAACGGUACUGAUCCCAGAAGUAAGGUGGAGGAUUAUAUAGUUCCGCCGAAGUGGAUCCCAUUUGAGAGUAAAGUGGCUUAUAAGCUGUACGAGAGUAAAUGGAUUGUGGGAGCUAGUAAUCUAGAUGGCUCGGGUGCAUCGGAUAUGUAUCGGAUUGGAUCGGUUAUAAAGGGUGCAGACGUCGUUUUAGUGAGACAUUGCCGCGAGUUUGAAGGCCAGUGGUUAAAUUUGCUUGAAAAUUUGCAACAACGGCCUGUGAUGCCGCUGGGAUUGAUGCCACCCAAGGUGGAAAAAAGCGGCCUUGAAAGCAACGAGUCAUGGAUUGCAAUCAAGAAAUGGUUGGAUGGUCAAGGUAAAGGCUCGGUGGUUUAUGUGGCAUUUGGGAGCGAGGUGUCCAUGAGUCAACUGGAACUCGGUGAGUUAGCCCUCGGGCUGGAGUUAUCCGGGGUGCCGUUUUUCUGGGCUCUAAGGAAUCCAUCUGGGCUGCCAGAGGGGUUCGAGGAUAGAGUCGAGGGAAGGGGUAUUGUUUGGAAGAAUUGGGCACCUCAGCUUAACAUACUGAGUCAUGACUCAGUGGGUGGGUUCCUGACUCACUGCGGGUGGAGUUCGAGUAUAGAAGGACUCAUGCUUGGUCAUCCACUCAUCAUGCUGCCGUUCGUCAUCGAUACAGGGUUGGUUGCUCGGAUUCUGGAGGAAAAACAGGUGGGCAUAGAAAUACCAAGAAAUCCGGUAGAUGGAUCGUACACGAGAGACUCAGUGGCCAAAUCGGUGAGGUUGAUCAUGGAAGAAGAUGAAGGAAAAUCCUACAGGGGCAAAGCAAAAGAAAUUAGCGCAGUAUUUGGAGAUCGAGAGCUGCACGACGGCUACUUACAGAGGUUUGUAGAUUACUUGGAAAAGAACGUGCGCAAAUCCACAUGAGAAGAAUUAGUACUAUCUUGUAAAAUUUGGCACUAGUAUUAUUGUACAAUAAUCAGUGCACUAGUAUCCAUUGUGCAAUUUAAUUUUUCUGGUUGCAUUCUUGAUCUACAAGCAUAUAACUUCAAUUAAUUAUGUUGACUGAAUCACUAUAAUGUAUUGCUGCCUUAAAACUGAAGGGGUUUUUGAUAUUCAACUUUCAACAACACAUUAACGACUCCACAUAAUCUGCUGCUCCAUGCAGCAGCUGUCCAGUGCAAGUAUUAAAAGAAAAAAAAAUAUUAAAUAAAAGAUAAACAGGUCGCCUUCAAAUUUGUUCAUUUGAAUCAUUCCUUUGGCUAAAUGAAUCACGAAAGCAAACGCCCAUUAAAUCCCGGGGAAUAAGAUACAAGAACAACUUACCGCGGAACACACUGAUUUUUCCAUCAGACAACUUCAGAUCUUUCUAGUGUCAUGAAAAGAUUCUCAAUAAACAAUUGCUGACAAUCUAGCGGAAGAAAACAAGAAAAGAAAUUGUUAAUAUAUGUCAACAUCGACCACCAACUUCAGAUCUUUCUAGUGUCAGUAAAUGUAAUACAUACCCAAUAAUCGACCACCAACAUCUAAUAAAUGUCAACAAAUUAUUGUGCUAAGAUGUCAUCAAACAGUGAGGCGUGAUUCAUGCUGUCUACAACUAUGUAAUACCAUAGAACUCUUUGAGGAAAAGGAACUUAAACAAUACCCCAAGUUGAAAUCUGUCUUCCUAAAGCCCUGAAUUUGUCCAUGGCCAACGAGUCCAAGUUGCACUUAGUAGUGAUGUUGCCUUGGCUGGCCUUUGGGCAUUUCAUCCCAUUUUUAGAACUCUCUAAAUUCAUUGCUCAAAGGGGUCACAGAGUCACCUUCAUAUCCACCCCUAGAAACAUCGCACGCCUCCCAAAAAUCCCUCCACAUCUUGUUUCUUCCAUCACCUUUGUUAAAAUACCACUGCCCCAAGUUGAAGGACUACCAAAAAAUGCUGAGGCCACCAUGGACAUCCACACAGAUCAAAUGUCUCUAUUAAAGAAAGCCUAUGAUGGGCUUGAACCUGAACUGACUCAAUUCUUGGAGAAUUCACUUCCUGACUGGACCAGUUUCAGCUAAGCUAGGAAUUUUGAAAUCCUUCUUUUGUAUUAUCAGCGCCUGGUGAGGAUGGUCAUUUCGGCUCGGAUCUCCCGAGACCUCAUCCGGUGGUACAUCCUGAAGGACCACCUCGGCACAUUAUUCACCCAGGCGGUCAAUACUCUACUGCCACCUCGUCUUAGACCUUCAAGUCGGUCGCCGAGGUGGCGGCUGAUUAAUAAUGCCUGCAGAGGGUAGAAGAUGACGUCUGACACCUGACAACCGGCGAACUGACACCCUGACAUGCCGUCCGAACCUGGUGAAGAUCCUGCCACAUCCUGUCACAAAGACUGGUCAAAUCAACUUGAUACUCCAUCAUGUCAAAUCCCUGGGGACCUGUGCAGGUAGUCUCCCUCUCUCCAGGUGAUUCUCUAUAAAUACCCAACAUCUCUCCGAAGGAGAGAGAUGACCAAUUUCUGGUAGAACACUAUCUCCACUCAUUGCUUUCCUACUUCUCUAUAUCCGAACUAACUUAAGUUUCGGAGUUAUACCGGGGGAUCUAGCCCCUUUUCUUAUCCAAACAGGUGACUUCGUCCAAGAGAGUUGCCCAAGGUAAAGAUACUCCUCCAUUCGAGGUGACUCGCUCCUGCAGGCCGAAAAUCACCUCUUCAAUUGGCGUCGUCUGUGGGAAAGCAAAGACAUUAGAAAAUGAAGCCUGCGCGUUCUAGGAGCAGAAAAGCUCUCACUAUAGAGGCUGAGCAAAGCAAUGCAGCUCAACAUGAAGAUAUCUCUGGAGGGCAUGAGUUCCCAAGGACUCAGCCCGCGAACGAAGAAGCCAUAACUCGUAUGGCCGAGUUCGUAACAGAGAACCCCAACAUCUUUGAGGAGUUGGGAAGAUGCCUAAAAAGACAAGGCAAGCAAAAGGCCGAGUCUUCUAAGAGGAAGUCGGAUGGGUCUCCUGAGGACUCGUCUGAGGAAGAAUCUGAUGGGAGGCGCUUAAGCCGAAGUGCCUCAAAGCGAGCAUUUUCUAAGGCCACCUCUAAGGUAGCCUCCUUGACCAAGGCAUUUUCUCGAGGGCUCUUGGGGAGACGACCCGAGGAAGAGCCUCGGCCCUUGGGAAUACCUGGGGUGGACUGCAUGAGGGCUCCACCAUUCACAGAUGACAUAAACGAGGAAAGGCUCCCUCCUAACUUUAAGCUCCCUGCAGUACAAUCUUACGACGGCCGAGGUGAUCCCGAAGAUCACAUCCAUGCCUUCAUCUCGACCUUCCGCCUAUACUGCAUUCCAGACCCUGUUAUAUGCCGGGCCUUUCCAGUAUUCCUCCGGGGAACAGCUCAAAAAUAGUUCUGGGCCCUAGAACCUAGAAGCAUCUCGACCCUGGGUGAGUUAGUGAAGAAGUUUCUCCACCGGUUCGUCUCCUCCCGACUUACGACCAGGACCUCGGCUUACUUGCUCACCGUGCAGCAGAACCCGGGAGAGUCACUCCGGUCGUAUGUCCGGAGGUUCCAUGAGAAAAGCGUUCAGAUACCUGACCCCAAUGAGCAGGUAACCCUCGCUGCCUUUACCCAUGGACUCGUUGUCGGAGAGUUCAAUACGGGGAUCCAUAAGAAGUAUCCCCGCACAUUGCAUGAAUUGUGGUUGAAUGUCGAAAAGGGCAUACAGGCCGAAGACCUCCACCGCAUGAAGAAAGAGGUCCAAACCACUCGCCCAAGGGCUGAUCCCAGAAAGGGAAAAGACGCUGGCCAAACUGAAGUGGGGUCGGGAAGUGGCUUCCGAAGUCCUGGCCAAGACCGCCGCAGCGUGUUCGACAGGAUAUCCAAGGGGAAGUCACCCAUUCCCGAGUCCGAGUUGACUCCUUUGAAUACUAUCCGAUCUCAGGUGUUGUCCGUAAUGGAACAAAACAACCUCGGGAAGGCCCCACCGAGGAUGUUUGGAAGCCGAGACAAGAGGAACUCGAACCUCUACUGCUUGUAUCACCGUGACAUUGGUCACGAAACUGAGGAUUGCAACGAUCUCAAGAAGGAGAUCGAGAACCUCAUUAGAUGGGGGCACUUGAAACAGUUCAUCCGCCGAGGAGGAGGCCACCAACGCGACGAAAACCGGCGUGACAAACGAGGUGACCAGCGCCGAGAUGAGCGGCGGACCACCAGAAGCAGUUGCCGACCCCCUGAGGAUCCCAGAAAGACGAAAAGGCCUCCCCCAGACGGAUCUGCAGGACAUGGGUUGGGAUAUGGGCCGAAUAUCGCUGGAGUCAUUAACACCAUUGCCGGAGGUCCGACGGGAGGGGAUAGUCAGAACUCCAGAAAGAGGACCUAUAGGCAGGCCAAUCCGGAUCAGGUCGAGUCGAGUUCUCGCCUGUCUGAGAUGAUCACCUAUGGACCCAGUGAUCCCGUCCCAGCUGCCUCCAGCAGUCAUGAAGUUUUGGUGAUUGAAGUCCUCACCAACAACUACAUUGUGAAAAAGGUCUACAUAGAUCCGAGAAGUUCAGUUGACGUCAUGUACCUUCGCACCUUUGAAAGUCUUAAACUGGCCAGGGAGCACAUGACCCCGGUGAGAACCCCUCUUGUAGGGUUCGAGGGGCACGUUGUGCACCCCGAGGGAAUGGUAACCCUGACGGUGACCGUGGGGCACCACCCCCGCUGCCGAACUAUCCCGGUGAAUUUCGUGGUGGUUAAGGCUGACUCCCCAUAUAACCUGCUCUUGGGUCGACCCACUCUUAAUGCUCUGCGGGUGGUGUACUCUACCUACCACCUAAGCUUUAAGUUUCCUACCCCCGCAGGGGUGGCCGAAAUCAGUAGCGACGUCUGCGCUGCCCGGGAGUGUUACCUCGCCACUCUACAAGCGGUCUCCCCCUCAAUCUCCGGAACGAGGCCCGAGAAGAGGUCAAAUAUCCUCUCAAUAGAUAGUAUCGACUCUCAGCGAGUUGAGAAGGUCCCGAGGCUGGAGACUAGGGAUGAGGUGGAAGAGUUUCCCGUGGACCCCACGAAGCCUGAUCAGACAGUUCGCAUUGGUACCCGAUUGCCCGGUCCUGUCCGAAGAGGUAUGGUGGACCUCCUCAGAGAAUAUCGGGACGUCUUUACUUGGGCCGCCGAAGAAGUCCAAGGAGUCCCGCACCACCUCAUGAUGCACAAGUUGAACGUCGACCCCCAAGUCCGUUCGGUCAAACAGAAGAGAAGGCACCUCGGCCCUGAGCGCAGCCGAGCUGUCGGUGAGGAAGUGGACAAGCUCUUACCCACUAAAAUAAUCCGGGAAGUCCAAUACCCAACUUGGGUGUCCAACCCGGUCAUGGUCAAGAAGGAUACGGGGGUUUGGAGAAUGUGCGUCGACUUCACCGAUCUCAACAAGACCUGCCCCAAGAACUGUUACCCAUUGUCCAAGGUUAAUAUCUUGGUAGACUCGGCAAUGGGAUACGAGAUCCUCUGUUUCCUGGAUGCGUUCAAAGGUUAUCACCAAAUUGGUGUGAGCCAAGAAGACCAGGAGAAGACGGCCUUCUACACUGACCGCGGCACGUACUGUUACACUACCAUGCCAUUCGGGCUGAAGCAUGCCGGAGCCACUUACCAACGCUUGGUCAACCAAGCAUUCAAGUCUCAGAUCGGCCGGAACGUUGAGGCCUAUGUGGAUGACAUCCUCCUCAAAAGCCAGACGACCUCUGCUUUUCUGGCCGACCUGAAAGAGGUCCUUGAUAUUCUCCGGAAGACGCGAAUGAUGCUGAACCCCAAGAAAUGCGUCUUUGGGAUCACCUCGGAAAAAUUUUUGGGUUACCUCGUCUCAAGACGAGGCAUAGAAGCGAACCCGGAUAAGGUGCGAGCCAUCCAGGAGAUGUCUCCACCUCAGUGCAUCCGCGAUGUCCAGAGGUUGACGGGGCGAUUGGCCGCCCUGAACCGGUUCCUAUCGCAGUCAGCUUCCAAGGCCCUGCCAUUUUUUAAAGUCUUGAAGAAAGCUGACCACUUCUCCUCGACUGAAGAGUGUCAACAGGCGUUUGAGCAGCUGAAGGACUACCUUCACUACCUUCCCACGCUCACCUCACCUCGUCCAGGGGACAAGUUGAUCUUAUACCUCUCUGCUGCGGUCGAAGCCGUGAGUGCCGUGCUGAUAAGGGAGGAAGGAGUCCAAAUGCCCGUCUACUACGUUAGUCGAGUUCUCCGAGGUCCCGAGACAAGAUACACACAAGCGGAGAAACUUGUGCUGACCCUGAUCCAUGCAGCCCGCAGACUCAAGCCCUAUUUCCUAGCUUACCACAUCUGUUUGAGGACUGAUCAACCACUCCGGCAGAUCUUGACACGACCUGAAGCAUCGGGACGUCUUACCAAAUGGGCCAUUGAGCUGGGGGAAUAUGACCUCUCUUAUGAAUCUCGCACGGCAAUUAAGGCCCAGGCUCUCGCGGACUUUUUAGCCGAGCUCACCUUUGAUGAGGUGAAAGAACCCAUCCCAACUACCAUCCCGGUCACAGCUGAAGUGGCCAUCGCAGGGCUCCAGUAAUGGAUUCUACACGUGGAUGGAUCGUCCAACAGUGAGGGUAGUGGAGCAGGCUUGCUCCUCGAAGACCCCCAGGGAGAUGUGUGCUCGUACGCCCUGAGGUUCGACUUCGCUACCUCCAACAAUGAAGCCGAAUACGAAACUGUCAUAGCCGGCUUACAACUAGCUCGAAAACUCGGGGCCGCACACAUCUUGGUCUAUAGUGACUUCCAACUCAUCGUGAACCAGAUAUUGGGUGAAUACGAGGCCAGGGAUGAGGUGAUGCAUCGUUACCUCUCUAAGGUCCUCCAGCUGGUGGCGCACUUUGAGUCUUUCGAAAUUCAAAGGAUACCGCGGUCACAGAACCGGAGGGCUGAUGCUCUCUCCCGACUCGCUUCUACUUCUUUUGGCGACCUGAACAAGACGGUUCUCGUAGAAGUCCUAGUCGAGUCGGGUUACGAAGGAGAGGUUGUAUAUCCCAUUUAUCCCGGGGACACUUGGAUGGGGCCUUUGGUUCGAUUUCUCAGCCGGGGUGAGCUCCCAGACGAUCGAGCUGAAUCACGGAAGCUUCAACGAAAAGCAGCUCGGUACGCCCUCCUACAAGACCUCUUAUACAAGAGGUCUUACCUCGGCCCCUGGCUACGAUGUAUCACGCCGGAGGAAGGCUGGAGAAUCCUCCAAGACAUACAUGAGGGACUCUGUGGUGCUCAUGUCGGCUACAGGAUGCUCGUUAAGAAAACCCUGUUGCUGGGAUACUUCUGGCCAACCAUGAGAGUAGAUGUCCAGGUCAUGGUCCUUAGUUGCUCCUCCUGCCAGCAUCACGCCCUUGAGCACCACCAGCCGACCAACCUUAUGAUCCCCAUCACCUCGCCAUGGCCAUUCGAGCAAUGGGGAACUGACAUAAUUGGUCAAUUCUCCAGGGCUCCAGGCAACUAUGCCUACGUGGUGGUGGCCGUGGACUAUUUCACCAAGUGGGUUGAAGCUGAGCCCCUGAGAAGCAUUACCGGGGCUGCCGUGCAGAAAUUCUUUUGAAAAAACGUGAUUUGUCGCUUCGGCUUGCCCCGGGUGGUAAUCUCGGAUAAUGGCAGGCAGUUCGCAGAUAAUCCUUUCAAGGAGUGGUGUGAAAACUUGGGGAUUAAGCAACAUUUCACUUCGGUUGGACACCCUCAGGCAAAUGGACAGGUUGAGAACUUUAAUCGAACUCUCCUUCAUGGUCUCAAAACCAGGCUUCACCGGACUGGAUCGUCCUGGAUGGAAGAGCUUCCUAGCGUGCUGUGGUCCUACCGAACGACGCCGAGAUCAGCAACUCAAGAAACUCCGUUCUCUCUAACUUAUGGAUCCGAGGCUGUCGUCCCAGCCGAGUUCAUCACUCCCAACCCGCGAAUGGCCGCGUAUGCUGCCGAGGUCAACGAAGAGGAGCGACGAGUUGAUCUCGACCUCGCCGAAGAGAAACGCGAUAUGGCCGCGGCCAAAGUUGCUAUUUAUAAAAAUAUCCUAACUGGUUAUUAUAAUGCUCGAGUCAGACACCUAAGAUUCAGUCCGGGAGACCUGGUACUCCGGAAGAACUCGAUUAGCCGAGCUGAACCCCAGGGGAAACUUAACCCCAAAAGGGAGGGACUCUACCGUGUUGUUGAGUCCAGCAAAAAUGGAUAUUGUAAACUAGCUUACCGAGAUGGUUCUCGGGUGCCCCGAACUUGGCACGCUGAAAACCUUAAGUUGUAUCACCCUUGAAAGGUACGUGUUCUUAAAUUUCACUUCUUUAAGUUAUUUCUCACUCAUUCUUAUUUCAUUACAAGUGACAAAUAAGGGGACAAAGCAGUAGUCAAAAGAAAACUGAACUCGAUCGAAAAGAAGGCACAAAUGUGCAAGGAUAAAAAGUCAACUUUAUUGAAGUAAAGGCCGAGGUUGUAAAUGACCUCGGCCCCAUUGACAAAAGUAAAAUACCGAGGCUAUCCAUGACCUCGGCCCUCUAUUACAAAAAUAAGUGCUUCUAAGCACCUCCUGCCCCGGCGUCCUGCUUUCCAAUAGUCUCGCCCCCUGCCUCGAUUUUUUGCUGUCCUUCACCUCCUCCGCCGGCCUGGUCCUCUCCAGCGCUGUCACCAUCUAGAUCGAACUUUUGGAGCUAUUUGUUGAACUCAACACGCACCUCGGCUAGGUCUCUCCCACAUUGGAUACCCUCAGCCAUGCGGUCGCACAGUUCCUUGGCGUCCUCGUUGUAGUGUUAAGCACUUUGAAGGGACUGCAGCUGCUCAGAAGAAAGAAAGGACGCCACCUUGUUAAUGGCUGAGGUAUACUCGAACAUGAACCUCGGCCGGGUGAGCUCGCCGAGGUCACGAAUAAAUGACUCCGACUUCCGGAAGGCCUCCACGGCAGUGACCCCGGCUUCGUUGAUGGCCUCCUUGGUCGACUGUUCUUCUUCAACUCUCCUCCUUCUCUCCUCGUCAAGAGCAGUUACGAGGGAGCUGUUUGCGACCUCGGCCUUCUCCCUGACCGCGUCGGCUUCGUCUCGUUCCAGCUCGAUGGCCUCUAGCUUCUUUUCCAGAUCGGCGAUCUUCUUCUUGAGCUCGGCAGGAGGCUCAUAAUUUUUCAUGAACUUUCCAUACCGUUGGAUCAUCUCGGCAAAAAAGGCCGUGGUGGAAGCCCACGACACCGAGGCGCUCUGCAUCAGCUCCCUUGCGGAGAGCUUUCUGGCAUAAGUACUGUCUCGAGGCAGCACCGAGUGCACCAAAAGCUCCUGAGCCACCAGAGGAUUCUUGCAACGAUCGUUGACGUUAAUAUCCCACUCCGGACACCAAUGUGAUCCGGGGUGCCUCUUAUCCUCCUCGGCUGCUUUGUGGGGCACGUGGUGGAGGUUGAACAAAGAUGACCUCGUGACGGGGUUCUCUGGGAACACAGUCACACCCUGACCUCGGGGGGGAGUGGCAAUUGUGACCUCGCGAGAAGGAAUUCCCACAGGAAUCGUCGAGGCUCGGGAACCUCCUGGAGUGGCCGAGGUGUGCGAGUCCUCGCCCACGAUCAUCACGGCAGGCUCGCGGUAGUCUCUUGCCGUGGCGGUUUUCUUAGCCGGCCUGGUAGAGGGCUUAGCGGCGUCCUUGCGCUUUUUGGGAGCUCUCUUGACCACCUCGACAUCUCCCGAGAUUAUCAGGUCGGAAAUCUUCGUCACUGCAAAGCAUGAAGAAGAGUUAGUUAGAAUUCAAGAAAGAUAAACAAAAAGGGAAGAAAUGGAAAAAUACAAGGUCUGUGAAGCCUAGUCGAGAGUAAGACGGGCUGAUCAGAGCUCGUCAAGGCUCGACUAAUCCCGCCUUCCACGAGCACCACUUCGGGGAAAUCCCAGCAGUUUAUCCUGAGGCCCGACCCCGUUAACUUCUGGAAGUUACGCUCUUCUAACUUCCCUGAAGAUGUCUCUUUGAUCGAGGUGGGAGGCCUCCACCAGAAUCCGCGAUGGAAGUCAUCAGCCGAGACGAAGAAGAAGUUUUGCUUCCACUCUUUUAUUGAGCUCGGAGCAUCAACCACCAAUUUCGGAACUUUGUUUCCGAAGUAGAACCAUCCUUUUUCACUCCCGCUGUUCUUGAGUGAGUAACAGCGGCGAAAGAGGUUGACCGAAGGUUCUAUCUCCUGAUGUCGGCAGAGUAGCUGGAAGCCGACGAGAAUGCGGAUGGCGUUAGGGGUGCGUUGAGUGAUUCUCACCCCCCAGUACCUCAGGCAAUCCCGAAGAAAUCUCGUCGUGGGCACUCUGAGCCCGGCCUUCAGCUGUUCCUGGUAGAUAGCCACUCUGCCCUUUGGUGGCAGUGCAGCUGACUGAUGAGGCUGGGGUAUAUAAAUGCUGUAAUCCCUUCUCCAGGGAUACCUGCGGACCACCUCGGCUAUUGAGGCGUGUCCCAUACCACUAGUGAAGAACGGCAUCUGGCCGUAGUUGAGAGUUGCUACGUUCAGAGGAGUGGAAGGUUCUUGUACUCCCUCGUAUCUAGGGAUCUCAGUCCCGAGGUCAUUAUUGUAUAGGACAUCGGGCUCGACCUCAAUCUCUUCGGGCUGCACCUCAGCCGCCUCAACUCGGCGUGAUGCCUCGGCACUUCCUUCCUCAGCUCGGUGAGACGCCUCCGUGCCUCCGCCCUCAGACGCGGUCCUUUCUUGGGUGAGGUCAGGCCUUACUGUCUCUUUAUGCGUACGAGCUGUUCUAGCCAUUGUCAGAAGAGGAAGAAGUGAACUUACUUAGAAGAUGUGAUUCGAAAGGAGUGCCGAAGAAGAUGUGGUUUAGAAGGAUUGCCGAAGUGAAAAGAUGAAGAAACAGAGCUCUGAGGUGAUUCACGAUUUUUGGUAAAGAAUGAAACGGUAAAAAGGGGACCUAUUUAUAGGCACCCAGGGGAACAGUGAAGAGGCGCGUUCUCUCUCUCUCCUCAUUAAUGAAAAGGCUGUUCGUCUGCCUCCGAUUUCGCCCCUGUUCAUGCACCUGCCGCUCAGACUGGCAGCCAUCGCGUCGAUCCCUCAGUAGUCCCAUCCGCGCAGUCAUGAUUACUGCAUCUCGUGUCUUACACGCUUAUCAGCUUCGGGAAGUAACGACUUCGGGAGACCACGACCUCGAUUUCCUCGAAGCUUGGGGGGCUUAGUGAGGAUGGUCAUUUCGGCUCGGAUCUCCCGAGACCUCAUCCGAUGGUACAUCCUGAAGGACCACCUCGGCACAUUAUUCACCCAGGCGGUCAAUACUCUACUGCCACCUCGUCUUAGACCUUCAGGUCGGUCGCCGAGGUGGCGGCUGAUUAAUAAUGCCUGCAGAGGGUAGAAGAUGACGUCUGACACCUGACAACCGGCGGACUGACACCCUGACAUGCCGUUCGAACCUGGUGAAGAUCCGGCCACAUCCUGUCACAAAGACUGGUCAAAUCAACUUGAUACUCCAUCAUGUCAAAUCCCUGGGAACCUGUGCAAGUAGUCUCCCUCUCUCCAGGUGAAUCUCUAUAAAUACCCAACGUCUCUCCGAAGGAGAGGGAUGACCAAUUUCUGGUAGAACACUAUCUCCACUCAUUGCUUUCCUACUUCUCUAUAUCCGAACUAACUUAAGUUUCGAAGUUAUACCGGGGGAUCUAGCCCCUUUUCUUAUCCAAGCAGGUGACUUCGUCCAAGAGAGUUGCCCAAGGUAAAGAUACUCCUCCAUUCGAGGUGACUCGCUCUUGCGGGCCGAAAAUCACCUCUUCACCUAGUGUUUGGGCUUUCUUGGACCAUCAGACAUGUUGAUUAAUGGCACAGAUCCAAGAAGCAAGGCUGAAGACUUCAUGGUCCCGCCGAAGUGGGUAGCUUUUCAAACAAAAGUGGUUUACAAGAUCCAUGAAACUAAUUCCGUUCUGCGAAUUGUUAAUCCCAACGUUUCAGGUGUCUCGGAUGCAUACCGAGUUGGAAUGAUGACCAGGGAUUCAGACGCUGUUAUUGUAAGACACUGCUUGAAGCUGCUAAAUGAGAUACAUCCCACUCCAGUGAUGCCUCUGGGAUUAGUGCCACCCCAUUCCCGAAUUGACAACAAAAUUGAUGAUGAGAUGAAUGAUGAAGCUUGGUUUCCAAUCAAAGAAUGGCUCAAUGGUCAAAACAGAGCCUCUGUACUUUAUGUAGCAUUAGGGAGCGAGGUGCCACCCAGUCAAACAGAUAUCAGCGAGCUGGCUCUUGAGCUAUCAGGGGUGCCUUUCUUUUGGGUUCUGAGGAAGCCACCCGGCUUCAGUGAAUCUGAAUCAGUUCAGUUGCCUGAUAAGUUCAAAGAGAGAGUUCAGGUAAGGGGAAUGGUAUGGAAAGGUUGGGUGCCACAGUUGAAGCUACUGAGUCAUGAAUCCAUUGGCGGGUUCUUGACUCACUGCGGUUGGGGUUCAACUAUAGAGGGACUCGCAUUUGGUCAUCCACUUAUUAUGUUACCCUUUCUGCUGGAUCAAGGGUUAAAUGCUAGGGUUCUAUAGGACAAGCAGUUGGGGAUAGAAGUGGCAAGAAGUGGACAGGAUGGGUCAUACUCGAGAAACUCAGUGGCCCAGACAAUUAGAUCGAUCAUGGUUAAAGAAGAGGGAAAGAUAAUCAGAGACAAGGCAAAAGAAAUGAGCGGAGUAGCAGGAAACAAAGAACUACAUGAUGCUUACAUAAACAAAUUUCUUGAGCUUUUGGGGCUAAUUUCUUAGAAUAUUUACAUUAAAAAAAAACAACCGCCAAAUGCACCUCUGACAUGGAAUGUUUCUCAUUCUAUAGCUGCCGUGCUAACUCAGCACGACAGCACAGUUUUUCACUGCAGACGUCUGUAAAAAUGUCGGGUGGCAGCAGGUGUCAGUCGCGGACGUGCUGAUUGGGCACGUCCACGACUGACAGAAGCAGACUGCCACGGUCCUGUAAGUCAGGUGCGGACGUGCUGACUAGGAGCAGACUGCCCAGUCAGCAUGUCCUCAGAACUUGUCCUCAGACUCGGAGCAAAGAAAUGAGGUUGUAGAAAGAUAUGGGAUUUUCUUAAGGGGGUUUGCCCCUCUCCUGAGCCAGUGACUUUCUUCUGUUUUUUGCCCCCGAGUCUCCACAAAGCCAACAACCUUUCAGCUGCAGAAACUGAAGAUGUUUUCUAGCCAUGGAUCCAUGGACGAAUUGAAGUGCGAGGUCUGUUUCUGGUUCCUCAUCAUCAAUCCACAAUAUUCAUGCUCUUCCAAACACUCCCAAAAAAAAAAAAAGGAAAGAAAGAAAGAUCACGGAGGACUGAAUUUGAGACCAUGAUGAUAAUUUCUCUGAGCAAAUGAAAUUUUGGCACUGAGACAAAGUGGCCCGUAUCUUGGUUGGGCAACUCGGAUGGCAGAAGUAGGAGAAUCUGGUAUGGGUUCUCUCCGACAUGCAACCGAUUUUUGCAGUGAUGGCGGUUUACUUCCUCAUUGCCUUACUGAUAUGACGGAUCUGAGCCUUAACUAAGUUCCAUUCUUUUUUUUUUUUUUUUUGUUGAGAAUCCAUAUUCAACAAGCUCGCUUCUCACCUCAAUCCUCAUUAGAGUUUUCUUUCUUUUCCUUUCUAUCCUAAACUCACAAACUAGCCUUGGUCUCUACAUGCUUUAUCAGCUUUUUCAGAUCGAGAGGCGUCGGUAGAAGGAGGACCCCUAGAAUGAGGCAGUGUAAUUGUGGGGGAGGUAGGGAGUUUUGUGGAGGGUUCUUGCCCCUAGAAUGGAGGGUUCUUUCUUGCCCCUAGUUAGAUUUUUGAGCUAAGCCCGUAUCUUGGCUGGGCAAGAAUCACAAGUACUACUAGUGAUUUUUGCAGCCAUGGCGGGCUUGAGCCAUUUUCUGUCUGAUUAAAGGCAAAUCUGAGCCUCCUUUCUCUUUUUUCUUUACUUUGCUGAUUUAUUUUUCCCUUAUUUGCUCUGUUUUCUUGUACAGUUUCCUCAUUAUGGUAUUAUGUGUCAAAAUUCUGUUUUCAUAUCCGAAGCUUUUUUUUCCUCGUUAUGGCUAAUUUUCACAUGGCGUUGUCGGCCUUUGUCACGGGCAGAAAGCAGGCGCCUGACACCUUUUUUUUUUUUUUUAACUGUCUUCUGCAGCCGUGCUGACUGGGCACAGCCUCAAGCAAGCAUUGGCUUUUUGACCGUGCUUACUUUUUCCAAAAAAAAAAAAAUCAAAUUUAUUAUGCGGUCGUGCUGAGUCAGCACGGCACGUAUAUAUUAAGAAACACCCAUGUCAGAGGUACACUUGGCGGAUUAUUUUUUUUUUUUACCUAUAAUCUAAGGAAUUAGCCAGCUUUUGGAGGAUACUCAACACAAACCCAAGAACUAAUUCCGACUGUAAGUUUUUUACAACAAAUUUGAUCAACUUGAAGUUUUUCACAACAAAUUUGAUCAACUUGCGCCCCUCCCACAAUAUGUUUAUCACUAGUUAAUUCUUUUUCUUUUUAAUUUUUCUUUAUGAAAGUGCCAUGUAGUAAUUCAACUCUUCGUUUCUUUAUAUUAGCAUGCCGCCUAUUAAUAUAAAAUUAGUGUCUGGUAUAACUUUUAAACAUCAAAUAACGAAUUCCCCUUAAUUUCUUUUUUGUAAAAAUGUCCUACGGUGAUCUAACUCUUACUUUCCUAAUAUUAACAAUCGCAAGUAUAUCACUUUAAUUUAGUGUAUGAUUACUUUAACUUUUAAAUAGCAACUAAGAAAAUACUAAUUUUUUCUAGAUAUUAAUUAUUAGAACUUUGAAGUAGCAACUAAAAAAACACUAUACCAAUAGGAAACAAAAGACGAAUAUCUUCAUGGCACAACAGCCCACACCCAGAAUCAAUAAGUAUUAGCACAAUAAUUUCAUCUGUAAAAUCUUUUUACAAAAUUGGCAUUCUACAACAAACACUAAUAUUUAUGUAGGAUUAUGCUAUAGAACUAAAAGAGUGGGAAAACUUAUCAAAGAAUGGUACCUUUACAUCUAUACGAGAAGGUAUUUAACUGAAUUAUCCUAUGAGGCAUGCAAAGUUAACUCAUUUUCCUUGAAAUCAGGCUUCAGUGCGGUAUCCCUACC
Molecule: long non-coding RNA, 52955 nt
Filed under: Coffea arabica (coffee)
Lineage: Eukaryota; Viridiplantae; Streptophyta; Magnoliopsida; Gentianales; Rubiaceae
Description: long non-coding RNA (CARA_LNC004939)
Source: RNAcentral